Non-coding RNA from Podarcis lilfordi (Lilford's wall lizard), 59727 nucleotides. The record is from the annotation of a GenBank genome assembly. Lineage: Eukaryota; Metazoa; Chordata; Lepidosauria; Squamata; Lacertidae.
CUUUUGAUUUGGUGGGUUUUUUGGGGGGUGGGGGGUGUCAUUCAGCUCUCUUGGACAGUGUGACACACCAGUAGGGCAGCAGUGGCUGACAAGGAGCAGCAAUGCGAGGACUUUUAAGACUGACCAUACAAAAAGAAAAGGAAAGCCAAAUACAGUGGUACCUCAGGUUAAGUACUUAAUUUGUUCUGGAGGUCCGUUCUUAAUCUGAAACUGUUCUUAACCUGAAGCACCACUUUAGCUAAUGGGGCCUCCCGCUGCUGCCGCGCCGCCAGAGCACGAUUGCUGUUCUCAUCCUGAAGCAAAGUUCUUAACCUGAAGCACUAUUUCUGGGUUAGCGGAGUCUGUAACCUGAAGUGUAUGUAACCUGAAGCGUAUGUAACCUGAGGUACCAUUGUAAACUUUAAAAUGCAGGGCUUCUGGUUUGGGCCAGCUUUUCCCAAAAAUUAACUAAUGUUUAAUUUGGUAUUAGGUAUGUUUUUGAAAUGAUUCCCAAACUCCACCCCCGCCCAUGGCCCACUUGAAAAUUGCUGAGGGUCUUGACGGAUAACCCAAUGAGUUUUCUGCCUGUUGUAGCCGUUGUAACACACUGUGCUAGAUGUUCUAUGAUUUGGCUUCUAAAUUGUAUUUUCACAGACAAGUCAUGAACCACCUGAAUGAAGCUUGUGGAUUAUUGUGGUCCACAGUCCACGUUUUGGGAAGUGCUGCACUUAUUAGAUAUUUCUGCCCUUCUAUCAUAAAAACUCAAAACUGAUCGCACCAUUUUCAAACUCUAUGGCUGCCAUAUUAUACCCAAUAACUUGAGAGCAAAUUCUAUUGAAUUCAAUGGGAGUGUACUUCUGAGUAAAUGUCCAUUGGAUUACAUUAUAAAGCUGCAGUCCUAUGCAUACUCACCUGGCCCAUUAAACACGGCAGGACAUGCAUAAGAUUGUGCAGGACACAACUCAGAAACAUUUCAAGAUUUUUAAAACAACAACAUGCAAAUCCCAAUAAGGCUAACAUUCUAAAUAAGCACCACCCCACCCUGAUACACUGAAAGCUGACCCAACUUACAGGAUUUCUAGAGCAUUCUCUCUCCUCUGCACCAGUUAAUGAGCCCUAGGACUGAGAAUCAAUAAAAGAGGAAUGCAAGGAGAUAAACUGUGAAUUAAUAACCAGCCGUUAAACUAGGUCCCCUUUGCUUCUGCUCCUUCAGCUCCAAGGACAUUUUAGCAGCAAGUAGACAAAAGGGCAUUGCUUUUAUAAUCCUUGAAUGUGGCUUCCGGGAUGACAAUUUUUGUUUUAAAUUGACAUGGUAGUAACCUGGUAGCCCUGUUCAGCAGAGGCUGUACACUAUCUAAUCUGCCGUGCAGUUGUGCAUGAUUUGGUCCCCACUGAAAGGCAAAGGCAGCUCGCUCACUCCAACCACUAUUUAAAAGGGGGCAAAAGAAGCAAGAGCGAAACAAGACAGCAGGAAGACUGGGGAGCCUCACAAGUGGUGUUGGUUUCACAAGGGCUUCUUUAGACUGGCAGCAGUGGCGGAAGGAAAGCCUUGACUAUUUUAAUGAUGGUUUUAUGCUCUUUAAGUAGACAAAUGUAACUGGGAUGAAAUAGCACACACAUUGUGAAAUCUCCCUCACACACAGUAUGGAGCUCCUUUGAUGAAGGGUGGGGUGCAAACUUCAUCACCUCUAUAUGCAUAUUUUUAUUGAUUCUCUUGUUUUCAGUUCAAUGCUGCUUCAAGACAGCCAUAAUCCACAUUCACGUUUUAAGCAUUUGAAUCAUGGAACUGUAGGCUUGGAAAGGGUCCUCAAAGCUCAUCUAAACCAAUGCCUGUAGAUGCAGGAAACCCAUAACUCCCGCAUGCUUGACAGGUGGACAUCCAGCCUCUGUUUCAAGAUCUCAAAUGAAGGAGAGUCUGCCACCUUCGGAGGCAGUCAGUUGCAUGGUUCUUCCCAGCGUUUAGUCUAAAUCCUUCUAAUUUAAACCCUGGUCUCACUCUGAAGCGUGCCCUACUGUGUUCAUUGAGGCUUAUUCCCAAGAAAGACUGUAGCUUGGGAAGCGCUUAGCUUUGGCUAGGUUGAGCUAUACCAAAGUAAUUAUUCAUUGCCAAUUAAGUAGCAUCUGAGCACUUCAGAUAUUACAGAUGAACAAUCCUAUUAAAUCUGCCAUGAAAGCGCACAAGAGGCAUAUAUAGUUGAUAAUUGGUAAAAUAGUUUUCCCCAUCUUUAUUUUCUACAAACAUAAAAUCUUAAACCAUGAAGUAUUGAGAUCAGGCUCAGCUGAGAGCCCAGUGAACAAUGGAAAAAUGUUUCUCAAUCAUUCUUUUAGAUUCCCAUGGAGGUUUGCCAAUGUGUUUUGCUCAGCUCUUCCUCUCCCCCCUUCAGCAAUUGAAUAAAAUAAUUAUUCUCAUGUGAGUCUCUGCAUUAAUAUUAUGAAAAAUCAUUUUAUACUCUAAUAUGGCUACGCUCAAAUUACCUAUCCAGACUAGGGGUUCAAAUACGGUACCUGGCUGAUGUCUUAAAAUAGUAAUGUUAACUAGAUGGAGAAGCAUUCAAAUAAAUUAGACUCUAGAAACUAUAAAACCAGUAGAAACAUCCACGUUUCUACUUACAAUAUACUCGGGAUGUAACUGAAUCAUUGCUGUUCCACAAUUAAGUGCCUUAGGGUGCAAUAGCCAAAUCACUGCACAUGCAGAAGUUCAGAGCCCCUGAAGUUAUGGGAAUGUCGCAGAGGUGCUAUGACAAGUAUUUAGGGCUUUGGGCCUCAGGCUGAACUAUUCUCAAGGCAAACAAAGAAGGCACAAUUUAUUUAUUUAAUUUGCUGCUGCAAGAUAUGGUGCCGCUGACCCAGAUGGCUUAAGAGGGGAACCCACUGUUAUUAGUAAUGAUAAUUAAAUGGAUAUUUCAUGAUCAGAGGCAGUGUACCUCUGAACACCAGCAACUGGAGGAGGGACACAGCCUUAAUGCCUUGUUUGUGGGCUUCCCAGAGGCCACUGUUGGAAAAAAGAAUGUUAGACCAGAUACUAGACCUUUUAUCGUCUGAUCCAGCAAGACUCUUCUGAUGUCUUAAGUGCCACAUAUCCUGAAUGGAUCUAUCUUUAAACUAAAUCUGGGGUGGCCGUGUUACCUGGCUCCUGAGAGCCCUGCUGAAAGAUCUCAUAUCAAUAUAAUAAUUCUCCCUUGAUACGUUGUGCAUCAUGUCCCAACAGCGUCCAAGCAAUGUUUGCUCCAUACCUUAUUUAGCUCUUAAUGCCUGGCACCAGCUUUUGUUUAAAGAGCUUGACCAGCUGUUACAGGGUAGGGACUGAGUGGGAAGGGAAGCUUGUGGGCCCCACACCACUGUUUGAAGAAUGGUCUGGUUCCUUGCUACAAAGAACACGGUUCCUCUGUGCUAAGUGCAAUAUGGCAUCUGUCAAAUGUGCGUGCAGGGCACAGCUCUGCCAUGCUAGAAUUAAUUUAGAGCUUCCUAAUGUGAGUUCGUCCUGCUUUCUUUCAUGCACUGUCCUCCACCAAAUUCUCUGUUAUCUUCUCUCUGUUGCUCCUUUUUCUUUUCACAGUGUAGCAAAGCAGUGCUAAUGUGGCCAGGGAACUGCAAAGCCACCUACUUUGUUGGUAUCUUUGUCAACAUGAUGAACCAUAGAACAGUAGAGUUGGAAAGGACCUCUAGAGACUUCUAGUCUGACCCCCUACAAUGCAGGAUUUUCAACUAAAGAAUCCAUGACAGAUGGCCUUCCAACAUCUUCUUAAAAACCUCAAACGACGGAGAGUCCACAAAAGUUCUACCUGACCCUUAAUAGAAAGCUCCUUUCUUGUAACUUGAAUCCAUUGGCUUAUGUCCCAUCCUCCGGAGCAGGAGAAAAAACUAGCUUGCUCUGUCUUCCACGUGACAGUCCUUUAGAUAUUUGAAGAUGUCUAUCAUGUCUCCUCUCAGUAGCCUCUUAUCCAGGCUAAAAAUACUGAACUCAAACUAGGAGUUGAGCACUGUCUCAGGCUGACUGCUCUGCAAUGGGGAACAAGAGCAAAUAGGUCAGUUUCCUGGGUUAUUGCAAGCCUACAUACCUUAAUUCUCUUACUGAAUGUCAGAAGAGCUGGAUGAUUUUAAAAAUAGUAUCGCUGCAUGUGUUCAAAAAAUAGGAUGAGUUUUGCAUUUUAUUCUGCCCAUUCGAAAGCAUGUUGGGAUGCAUUGAAAGGGUUAGGAAAGAACUCAUCUUUAGAGUUCCCUCUUGUGGAUAUUCUGUGUACAGAAAAAUUCCACAGUGGAUUUAAAAAAUAUUCCUCAAAAUGCAGUCCUGUAUACUGUCAAGCUUAAAGUUGCAAAAGCUGUUUCUUAAAUCAUAUAAACUCCAGGAUGUUGUGGAGAAAAUACCAAUCUAAGCUGGCACAUAUUAACAUUAAUAUUUGCUUUAAAACACAUUUUUAUUCUAUAAAUAAAUAUUUAUUCUAUAAAUAGAAGCCUCAUGAAGAAACAUAAUAUCAAUUUAUUAGUUCUUCUGUCCAGUAAGUAUUCAUUAGUCUUGCUGAAUAACCAGGGUCAUAACCAUGCCAGCUCCUUCCCUAAAUUUUCAGUUAUCAUUUGAAAACAAAAGCAUAAUGGCACAAACUGAUGCCUCCUCACUUGAGAGGCAGUGUGGUUUGGUGAUUAGAGUGUCAGGCUAGGGCUGAGAAAAUGUGAUUAUUACUCUUUUUUAUGUGCUAAAAUACAUAACACAGGGCAGCCCUAAGUACUGUAAAUUAGAUCCCUACUCAGCUAUGAAACUCACCUUGGACCAAUCACUAUCUCUCGGGCUAACCUACAUCACAGGAUUGUUGCAAGGAUAACAGAAAAGGCAGGAUAUAAAUGUAAUAAAUAAAUAUAUGCACAAAGCGCUGCCUGCACCCCACUCCCCAUACAUGGCAAUAUUGAUCUCCUUUACCUAAUAUGACCUUAGCCAGAGGAAGUACGUGGUGUAGCGGUGCCAACUUGAAUAAAAUAUUGAGGGGGCCAGGUAAGCCCCGACUUGCAUUGUCAAUCACGAGACACAGUGCACACACAUCAUUUGAAUGGUAAUGCCCAUUAACUUGGGGGAGGGCUCAAAUGUUUUAUUGUGGGCUCUAGGAGUUGGCUGCUAUGACCUGGUGCAAAUCAACACUCCGAUGGAAGGUUAAAGGUAAAGGGACCCCUGACCAUUAGGUCCAGUCGUGACCGACUCAUUGGCCGAGGGAGCCGGCAUACAGCUUCCGGGUCAUGUGGCCAGCAUGACUAAGCCGCUUCUGGCGAACCAGAGCAGCGCACGGAAAUGCCAUUAUCUACUUGCCUGUUUAUCUACUUGCACUGUGUGCUUUCGAACUGCUAGGUUGGCAGGAGCAGGGACCGAGCAAUGGGAGCUCACCCCAUCACGGGGAUUCGAACCGCCGACCUUCUGAUCGGCAAGUCCUAGGCUCUGUGGUUUAACCCACAGCGCCACCUGCGUCCCGAUGGAAGGUUAGAGCAUACCAAAUUAAGCUUAAGCCACCUGACUCCCUGUGGUACGGUGGAUGCUUUUGUACCUACACAGACCCACAACAUGAGCAAUGUGAGCACAUCAUCCGGGGAAACAAGGUGGUAAUCCUGCUGAUUGGUCGUGCGGACAGGUGCCGUACGCAUUACGAGACAAUUUUAAAGCAGAGCUAACCAGAUGCAGUAAGUGCCGUUGAGGUCACUGGCCACCCCAGAGAACGCACAUAAUGUCAUCUCAGGGAAACACCUCCCGGCCGUGGGAGAACUCAGUAAAGAGAAACACGAUAAAAGAAGCUUAGGUUGUUUUGAAAUCCAAUUAGGAAAUUAAACCGAGAGGAACGUGUUUGGAGAAAAUCCAAAUGCUGCAGCAGGACAAUACCUUUAUUAGGACCAGCUGAAAUGUCACCAAGUAGUGAGCAUGAUUUCAAGUGCUCCAGAACUGCUCUUCAGGUUGGCUGUGUAUGUGAUAAAAUCUAGUCAUGGUGCUGAUGCCCCAACAUUUGUAGACAUUGUGGAUGGUGUUUCCUAUCUACUCAUUUGCCCCACCCUUUAUCUGUAUUUUGAAAUCCAGCCUAAAGAGAAAUCUUGCGCACUACUUUGUGAUAUUUCAGUUCUAAAAAUAUUGCUCUGCGGCAGCUUUCGGAAUUCCCCCCGCCCCCUAUUUGGCAACAUGUUAUAUUCAGAGAAGUUACUUAAUGGCAUUUGGGGGAGAAACCAUUUCACCCAGUGGAGUGAAAAGGGAUAGCACUGAACCAUCAAGAGAAUGCCAAAUCCCAGUCAAUGAAUGACUGCCCGUGGUUUCUAGAAGCUAUCAAUUAUCUGAGCAAAUAUAAUUUAUCAACCUAUUUACUUGUAUCCUGCCCUUUGUCAUAUUUGAGCUCAUCCUCCGUUACACUGUGAAAUCACAUCACCAUGAAAACAGCAGCCUAAAUGGUACUGUUCAGGAAAGUUGAUCAAAAAUAAAAUGAAUUCGAACACAGUUCAAGAAGGCAGGAAUGCCUUAAAAGAGAAGCUAAUGCAGAAGCCAUAAUAAAAUUUUAUACUUCAGGUGCAUCCAUAAAGAUUUCAACCCAUGCACCAUCACAGAAAAGGCUGGUGCCCUUAACAUAGCAGUUGCAAAUAAAUGUUCUGUAUUUAAUAUAUAAGGCUAGAUGGUGAUUGUGGCAAUAGACCACAACCCAUUUUUUACAAAGGCAAUGAACAAACGGCAAGUUAAGAAUAAGCAGCAAUUGUAGAAUUGGGUUGCAACAUGCGCUAAAUAAAUUUAUGUAUACCGCAGUGGCAUUACCAUAGUCUAGAGCAGUAAUUUGCCAUGUGAAGUCAGAAAAGGCCUUAGAAAGUGAAACAAAAGCGUAUGCAGAUUUAAUUGCCCAGCCAUUUCCAUUAGCUAACACAAAUGCAGCAGAUAAAAGCAGACACAAGGAAAGAUGAAUCACUAAGAGACCUGAAAGAAACAGCAGCUAAAGAGGGUGAUCAGAAACCCCAAAGUAGCCGUGGUUUAAAGCCUAAGAUACUCCUAGAGUUGCAAGCCAUGUGAUAACUAGGAGAAAUUUUUGAGCAUAGCUAGCAAGGCAGGGAUAGAGCGAUUAGGCAAAUAAACCAUGAAAAUCAGCUGCACCGCAAUCCCUCACACACUUAACUGACUUACUAACUGAGUAGACACACCUAAGAUUGCACUGUCUGGCCCUGACAUGAAAGAAAAAUACAAAAGGAAGGAAGAAAUCUGAUAAACAAAAUAAUGGUCAUGAUGUUUCAACAUUGUAUCAGUCCUUUCUCUUAUUUCAGAUUUGAACUAAGCCAGAAGGUGGAGCCACUGAAAUUAUACCCAGGUGAAGCAGUAAAUAAUGCAAUUAGGUAACAACCUGAUUUGGAAGAGAAGAUUAUAGGACUCUGCAAAAUGCCAUAUACAUGGAUGGCGCCAUAAUAUGACUUUUUCUGAAUCAAACUGGAGUGUGGGGCAGAUUUUGCAAAUCUGGGGUACAGAAGGCAAUUAAAAAGGUACAGAAGGCAAUUAAAAACUCACAGAUAUUUAAAAGUCAUAUUUUAUGGUGCAUCGCUAUACAGAUUAUUACAUAGUAAAAGAGCUAAUAUAAAAAAAAGAGUGUAAACAGUGUGCUUUCACAUAAAAAAUGGUUGCAAGGUAGCAGCAGAUCAGGGCAACAAUGGGUGUGAAAAAUGUGAAUGAGUGGGAGGGAGGGGUUUUCCACGGACGUUUUUGAACCCCAUGUAAUGACGAUUUUUGCAUUUAAAAAUCGAUCACCAGAAAAAUGCAUCAUAACAAUAAAUAUUAUUAAGGGAUGGCAAGAUAUAAACUUGGAACCCAAAGUAUACUUUAUACCUGCAGAUUGAUAUUAUUAUUAUUAUUAUUAUUAUUAUUACCAGCACAUUGCACAACACUGCAAUCAGUUUUGACAACCAUACUGAAAAGAUGUGCAGUUUCAGACAAUUUCAUGAGCAGUAAUGACUCACUGUUUUAAGUACUGUAGUCAAUUGAAGCUUAAUAAUUGAGAUAUGGCUAGACAACCCCCCCCCCCAAUAAGGGCUGAAUGUUGGUGGUGGAUAGGGCUGAAGCCAUUGGUAGACAGAGCCACUCCUCUUCCCUCUAUGCCACCCUGUUUUCUCUCUUUCUCUUCACCCCCUCUUCACCCCCACUCAGCAGACUGCCAGGAGAGGGACAUAUCACUCUUUCCAGAGGUCUGAACUGAUAGUUUACUUGCAGUUUAGACUAAGGGUUGCAUGGAAUUAGUCAGAUGGCUGCAGGUUCUGAACCCCUGCAUUAAGCACUUGACGUAAAUGGAAGCAAUUGGGGAUGUUUUAAGAGAAUUUAAAUUCAAAAAAAUAUAUUUAGAAUGUGUGAGACCUGAUGUUGAAAACAUUUAACUUGUUUGUUUAAUACACCUCUUGCUUACCUAGGAACACCUCUGAAACAUAGCUGGUUGUCUGCAAAGCUGCUAAUAGGAAGGGGGGGCGAAAUUCACUUCAUCUCCUGUCAGUAUUGAUUUGCUAAAGAAUCAUAGCAAUAGAAACACAUGCUGCAGUUGCAAUAAAUGCAGUAACAGGAAUAAAUAUGAGUAUGAAACAAGAUUGUAACAUGGGAUUUUUUUCGGAGGAAUUGUGUCUUGUCAUAGUAGAAACCAGACUAGAACUAUUAAGGAACAGCUGAAUCUAUAAUACUAUUUUUUAAAUUUAUUUUGGGGGGACAAACACAGAAGACUUAGUCCAAUGGAAUAACUAUCAUAAUUUUUCUGGGUGGGAUUCUAUACUUCCCACAGAGGAAAAAGGGUUAAGAGGUUCUAGAGGGAGCCUAGGAAACAGAAAUGUGUGAGAAAGUGAAAGGAUGGGAAGGGAAUUGGGUAAUCUACUCCUCCUUUCUCCAUCCCCCCUCUCCUUCUUUACCAUUCACCUGCCAAGCUCCAAGUGUGAAGGUAGAGCUGCUGAGAUCCUGGCCUAUCCUUUCCAAUAAUAAUAAUAAUAAUAAUAAUAAUAAUAAUAAUAAUAAUAUAUUAUUUAUACCCUGCCCAUCUGGCUGGGUUUCCCACAGCCACUCUGGGAGGCUUCCAAAAGAAUAUUAAAAUACUGUGAUACAUCAAACAUUAAAAGCUUCCCUAAACAGGACUGCCUUCAGAUGUCUUCUAAAAGUCUGGUAGUUGUUGUUCUCUUUGACAUCUGGUGGGAGGGCGUUCCACAGGGAGCCACUACCGAAAAGGCCCUCUGCCUGGUUCCCUGUAACUUGGCUUCUCACACUGAGGGAACCGCCAGAAGGCCCUCGGUGCUGGACCUCAGUGUCCGGGUAGAACGAUGGGGGUGGAGACACUCCUUCAGGUAUACUGGACCGAGGCCAUUUAGGGCUUUAAAGGUCAGCACCAACACUUUGAAUUGUGCUCGGAAACGUACUGGGAGCCAAUGUAGAUCUUUCAAGACCGGUGUUAUAUGGUUUCGGCGGCCGCUCCCAGUCACCAGUCUGGCUGCUGCGUUCUGGAUUAGUUGUAGUUUCCGGGUCACCUUCAAAGGUAGCCCCACGUAGAGCGCAUUGCAGUAGUCCAAGCGGGAGAUAACCAGAGCAUGCACCACUCUGGCGAGGCAGUCCGCAGGCAGAUAGGGUCUCAGCCUGCAUACCAGAUGGAGCUGAUAAACAGCUGCCCUGGACACGGAUUUAACCUGUGCCUCCAUGGACAGCUGUGAGUCCAAAAUGACUCCCAGGCUGCGCACCUGGUCCUUCAGGGGCACAGUUACCCCAUUCAGGACCAGGGAAUCCUCCACACCUGCCCGCCUCCUGUCCCCCAGAAACAGUACUUCUGUCUUGUCAGGAUUCAAUCUCAAUCUGUUAGCCACCAUCCAUCCUCCAACCGCCUCCAGACACUCACACAGGACCGUCACCGCCUUCACCGGUUCUGAUUUGAAAGAGAGGUAGAGUUGUGUAUCAUCCGCAUACUGAUGAACACCCAGCCCAAACCCCCUGAUGAUCUCUCCCAGCGGCUGCAUGUAGAUGUUGAAAAGCAUGGGAGAGAGGACAGAACCCUGAGGCACCCCACAAGUGAGAGCCCAGGGGUCUGAACACUCAUCCCCCCCCCACCACUUUCUGAACACGGCCCAAAAGGAAGGAGCGGAACCACUGUAUGACAGUGCCCCCAGCUCCCAGCUCCUCAAGACGGUCCAGAAGGAUGUUAUGGUCGAUGGUAUCAAACGCCGCUGAGAGAUCCAGCAGAACUAGGAAACAGCUCUCACCUUUGUCCCUAGCCCGCCGGAGAUCAUCAACCAGUGCGACCAAGGCAGUUUCAGUCCCGUGAUGAGGCCUGAAUCCCGACUGGAAGGGAUCCAAAUGGUCCGCUUCUUCCAGGCGUGCCUGGAGUUGUUCAGCAACCACUCACUCAAUCACCUUGCCCAAGAAUGGAAGAUUUGAGACUGGGCGAUAGUUGGCCAUCGUGGCCGCAUCUAAAGAUGGUUUUUAAGAAGCGGUUUAAUAACCGCCUCUUUCAGCGGGUCUGGGAAGGCUCCCUCACGGAGGGAAGCAUUCACCACCCCACGAAGCCCAUCGCCCAGCCCUUCCCGGCUAGCUUUUAUAAGCCAGGAUGGGCAAGGAUCAAGGAGACAGGUGGUUGGUUUCACUCGUCCAAGCAGCCUGUCCACAUCCUCGGAGGUAACAGAUUGGAAUUGAUCCCACGCAAUUUGACUAGACAGGACUCUAGCACUCUCCCGCCUCGGCCCUGCUCCCACGGUGGCGUCUACCUCUUCCCGAAUCUGAGCGACUUUAUCUGCAAAAAACUUUGCAAAAUCAUUGCAGGAGAUCAUGUGGCCCGUACUGGGCCCCGAUGUAGCAGGUGGUUCCGCUAAAUUGUGAACCACCUGAAAAAGUCUCCUGCUGCUGUUUUCUGCAGAUGCAAUAGAGGCGACGAAGAAAGUCUUCUUCGCUGUCGCUAUCGCCACUUGGUAGGCUCGACAUUGAGCUCUAACCUGUGUCCGGUCAGCUUCAGAAUGGGUCAUCCGCCACCGGCGCUCUAGCCGUCUCAACGAUUGUUUCAUUGCCCUCAGAUCCGUGGAAAACCACGGGGCUGUCCGGGCUCCAUGCAAUCGGAGAGGGCGCUCGGAGCCAAACAGUCAAUAGCCCUGGUUAACUCCACAUUCCAGCGGGCCACCAGGGAAUCAGCUGAAAGGCCAUCAACAUGGGAUAAAGCAUCCCCUACCACUCUCUGGAAACCAUUUGGAUCCAUUAAGUGGCGGGGGGCGGACCAUCCGAAUCGGUCCCACCUCCCUGCAGAGGGGAAGGGUCACGGAGAAGUCAAGUUGCACCAGGAAGUGAUCUGACCAUGGCACUUCUUUCGUUUUGCUUUUACUUAGUGUCAGAUCACCAACAUCCAUGGAGGUAAACACCAGGUCCAAGGCAUGUCCGCGGCUAUGGGUUGGGCCAAACCUAUUCAGGGACAGCCCCAUGGAGGCCAUGCUUUCCACGAAGUCCCGAGCAGCCCCUUGUAAGGUCGUGUCGGCAUGGAUAUUAAAAUCCCCUAGGACAACCAAACUAGGUGUCUCCAGGAGAACAUCCGCCAUGACCUGAAGCAGCUUGGGCACGGAAUCCUUGGUGCAGUGGGGAGGUCGGUACACCAAAAGGAAUCCUGUACUGCCCCUAUUGCCCAACUUCCAGAACAUGCACUCAGAGAACUGGGUCUUCCCAAUAGGAUGCCUGGUGCAAACUAAUGACUUCCUAAAAAUCACUGCAACCCCCCCCCUCCCCGCCCACAAGGCCUGGGUUGCUGUGUGUAAGAGAAACCUGGUGGACAAGCAAUGGCAAGAACAGGCCCAUCUGCUUCAUCCAACCAAGUCUCUGUUACACAUGCCAGGUCAAAUCCUCCAUCCAUGAUCAAGUCAUGGAUGGCAGUGGUCUUAUGAAUCAUUGACCUGGCAUUGCACAGCAGCACCUUCAGGUCAUCCCUUGCUGAUUCUAGUAUCCGUCCGGUCAGGACCAGACCCGGAGGCAGGGAUAGUCCUCAGACAACAACUAAACCUGCCUUCUCUGUAAUGACAUGGUCUGGUCUUAGCUUAACUCCUCCUCCUACCCGUGAUCACUGAGAUCGGUUGUCCCAGCGCAUCCCCCCAGCCAUUUUGUUGGCUGGGACCCACUCCCCGGCAGCCCUGACCCCUCCCCUUAAGAACAAAAUAAGACCUUAAAACAAUAAUAACAAAACAAAAGACAAAAAAACCCCAGAAAAUAAAAAAACUAUAAAAAUUACAAAUCCAUCAAAAUCAAACAAAUUCCCAACUAAACAUCCAUCCCACCCCCAUCCCCGUCCCCGCAUAUACCAAAAAAAUAAAAUAAAAAGGAAAAGGAAAAAUUUAAAACAUUUUUAAAAGAACUCUGCGCCCCUCCGGAUCCUCCUGGGCCACAGCAGCAGUGACAGCAACCGUCCCUGUGAGGCCUGUCAGGCCCCGCCCUGGGCCAGGUGGUGAGUGCCAGGAGCAGGGCCCUCAGGCACUCACACAGGGGAGUCCUCCUGGGCAGCAGAGCACAGCAGUCCCUGUGAGGCUUCAGGCCCCGCCCUUGGCCAGGUGGUAAGCGGCAAGAGCAGGGCCCUCAGACACUCACACAGGAGAGUCCUCCUGGGCAGCGGAGCACAGCAGUCCUUAUGAGGCUUCAGGCCCCGCCCCGGGCCAGGUGGUAAGCGGGAAGAGCAGGGCCCUCAGACACUCCCACAGGAGAGUCCUCCUGGGCAGCAGAGCGCAGCAGUCCUUGUGAGGCUUCAGGCCCCGCCCUGGGCCAGGUGGUAAGUGGCAGGAAGGAGCAGGGCCCUCAGACACUCACACAGGAGAGUCCUCCUGGGCAGCAGAGCGCAGCAGUCCCUGCGAGGCUUCAGGCCCCGCCCUGGGCCAGGUAGGUGGUAAGCGGCAAGAGCAGGGCCCUCAGACACUCACACAGGAGAGUCCAUUCACAGAACAUUCUGUUUCUCAAUCACCACUCCUCCUGAAAGGUGGCAGGUGGCACAGAGAGCAGGCAAUUCUUCACUGAACACUUCCACGUGAUUUGAUUAGGAAUCUGGGUACCACCUCUUGUGUUCAUUCCCAUUCCCAGACAGCAACGAGGUAACUGCCUUUUUUUAUUUUUGAAGUGGUGUUGGAUUGUAACUCCCAUCAGCCGCAACCAGCGUGGCCAAUGGUCAGGGAUGAUGAGAGCUGUAUGCCUACAACAUCUGGCUACAUUUGCUCUCAGUCAAAGGCAUGGAUUAACAGUGCAAAUUGACACACACAGAGACCAUGCAUCUGAGGGACAUUAGUUUCUGGGUGAACCAUAGUUAUGGCUCUCGAAGUGUGAAACGAGUCUCUCUUUGAAAUAUUGAGAGGUGCUAGAAGAAGGUACAAAUGUUGUUCCUGACCUUUUUCUCUCAGAAAACUAUUCCAAAUAUUGCAGUGCUGCCCAGUGCUGCUGUGUGUCUGGGUUCUCACUGAAGUAGUCAACCUGUUUCAGGUGUAUACCACUUCAAAUUCAGUGGGUGGGAAUGUCAUGUGAUAAAAUGCUUCUCCAUACAAAAUGCCCCUGCACCAAAUAAAACCAAUGUUAGAGAGAAGGGCUCUAGACUAGUUUGACAUUCUAGUUUUCCAUGUGGAAGUAUCUUUAUGCUAUCAUUUAUGUGGAGGAACAUAAUCCCUGACCUGCAAUUUGAAGCAGUUCAAGCCCACUAGACUAAGAGACCUUUUGUUUUUCUGAGACACUUCACUUGUUUCAUUCAUUCACAUUCAUAUUGGAACAUGCUGAUUAACUAUUGUGAAGCCCUGAUUCUAUGUAUUUGGAUCUGAUUGUCCCCGAGUAUGAGCAGAAUAUAACAACUGAGAUGUCAUUCUUUUCUAAGUUCUUGAUCUUGGUGAAGCUUGAGGAAAUUUUGCUUCUCUUCCCUUGAGGAAGAGGAAAUGAUCAAGUUUGAGAAGAAAGUUUGAGAACACCGUAUCUGACAUAAUCAUUUCCAAAGUGAAGUUUGUGAGACUAUAACAUCAUAUUUCAGUUUGUGAGGAUCCAUUAACCGAUGGGGAAAUAAAAAUUACAACCCUUCCCCCAUGGGUUCUAUCCAAUAUAGCACCAAGCUGAAGUCACUUAGCAGAAAACUUGUUCCAGUGGCAAAAUGCUUUAUCAGUGGAACAUUGUUGUGCAAGAGCACUUAUAGGCAGGUCGUUGUGACUUUGUUGCACAACAGAGUGCACCAUCUGUUAUGCCACAGAUGUCUGCUAGCACAGCUUUUGCACCAGAUUCUUCUGUUGUGUAAUGUUAAAAUUCACCCAUCUGCUAGCAUGAGAGCCCCUGUUCUGGGGUCAGAAAGCACUGGGUAUAGCCCCAUUACAUUUCUUGAUUUGAUGCACAGGCAGAAAAAUGGAGCAGGAGAGAGUGGGGGGGAAUGAUUCUGUCAAUUAUCACACACGGUAGACUGCGGUCCAAUUUUGAAAGCACACUUUUGAUGGUUGGUGAUCUCAGCUGGAAAGGUUGCAAGUAGCUUUGGAUUAAAUUCUCUUAUGAGCAUGCAUCUCUGUGAUGUAUGAUUACAAUGUAUUUUUAAUUAAGGUUAUCACAAUGGGAUCUUAGCAGACGUGGCUACAUUUUAUAUCCCAGAAUCAUUGCAAGAAAUCGUAUUAAGCUGCAGCACAGCAAGCCAAGCAGUCUCGUUUGCUGAGCGAAAUGUCAUCCAAAGUCACCACCUCUGGUUUAUUUUCUAUUACCUUAUCUCUCCCACCAUGUUUUCCCACUGCCACCUUCUUAAGCAGGAAGUAAUGUUGCUGCACAGAUAGUGCCAACUAUUGUUUAUCUACCUUCAGCCGGUAGAGAAUCCAAACACAUACGGCAAGUGAGCAAAUUUUAACAAUAUUUUUAAUUGUUGCACAAUUCACUCACUACAUCCUACAAUAUGCAGUUACAUAGCUGCUAUUGUAGUGCUUCAGAUAAUGCUCUUUGCAAUGAGUUGUCUUUCCUUUCAUAACCACAGCUUCAAAGUUGGCCUGUGCUUCAUGCCAGAGGAGUGCUGGCAUCUGAGAUAUUGCUCAGUCUCCCUGUGUAGUGAUUGCUGCAAUGAUUGCUGUAAUGUAGAGGCACUUUCUUACAGCAAACAAAGGGAUGAGAGUUGAGAGGUGAUUCUUGGGGGUUUGUGUAGCGGAGCUGAGAGAGGAGAUUCAAUAGAAUCUCUUGGAAAGCCAUAUAUUUGGCAAUACAGUGGUACCUCGGGUUACAGACGCUUCAGGUUACAGACUCUGCUAACCCAGAAAUAGUACCUCGGGUUAAAAACUUUGCUUCAGGAUGAGAACAGAAAUUGUGCAGUGGCGGCACGGCAGCGGCAGGAGGCCUCAUUAGCUAAAGUGGUACCUCAGGUUAAGAACAGUUUCAGGUUAAGAACGGAUCUCCAGAACAAAUUAAGUUCUUAACCCGAGGUACCACUGUAAAAUGUUAUAUUAAUUUGUUCAGUGUGACCUUUAUGUUAGCAAACCUCCAAGUUAGUACAUUCUGCAUGUUCAUCUGGGUGCAGAAAUUUUAUGAGAUCAUCUGCUUUCUGUUGGAGAGACACGUUUGGAAGAGAGAUUCCUACUCUCCAAUGGCAAUUCAUCCAAGCACAUCAAAAUUUGUUUAGAUUUUACAUCUGCCCUCAUCCACCUUAAACAAAUAUUCUCCAUGGAAAUUCUCAGGCUAGAAUAAAUCACAGACAUUUAGCUUUCCGAAUAAGUGAAUUUUUCCAGAAGUUACAGCAAACGAGUCUCCAUCUGCUGGCAGUAAAACAAAUAUGAAAAAAGGUUCCAAACAACUUAAAAAGAAGUAACUUGGUUUCCUUACAAGAAGGAUCAUGCAAUCUUUGGGUUAGCAUAUAUGCAAGCUAUAAAAUCUCUUUUAGAGAGAUUCAGUUCACUUGCAGGGAGCCAUGGCUGCAUGGCUUCUUGCUUGUUUGUUCUAGGAAGCAUGAAGGUUGGGAAAGGGUUGAGGGCAGAGGCUGUGGAGAGCCUGCAAAGCUGAACUUCAAUUUCCAUCAGUCCCAGGAAGCAUGAUUCAAUGGCCAGGGAUAAUGGGAGCUCUGAAAUGAAUUAAGUUCUUAACCAGAGGUACCACUGUAUGUAUACUAGGACAAAUGUGCACCGAAAUCCCAGUUUUCAAUGGGUCUUUUUGUUUUUUGUUUAAAUGCAAACUGACGUGGAAAUGUGGCAAGCUGAACUUUAGACUGGAAAAAUGAGAAGCUGAGAGAAACUGAAACUGACAGACUGAUUGAUUGAUUGAUUGAUUGAUUGAUUGAUUGAUUCAUCCAUCCCUACUUUUGAGGAGACAUGUCUAGAAUUGCACUGUUUCAGAGUACCAAAAAUCGCUGGGGUGGAUCUUGACCCAGUUAAUACUUGCUGUUUAAGGGUGAAAUAAGUCCUUUAUCACCCCACAACUCAAAGCAAAAUGUGAGACUUCCCAUUUGCCAUGCCUUUUAGCCACUGAGUGAGCUUUCCAGUAUUACAGCCCUGCUUCUGAGAGCCACGUGGGUUGCAGGGUGGAAGGUGAAAACUUCUAUUUCUCAAACUCAGCUCUACCAAACCACCCAUAAAACUGUUCUUAUAAAACCAUUGCACGGGAGUGCUUCUACAAAGGGAGGGAGAGAAUCGUUAUAAGAAGUCUCAGCUUUACAGUGCUGCAUUAUCUGCAUAAAGCUGUAUCAGACAUGGGCUUAAUGUAAUAAUAUGCUCUGCAAGAUAGAUUAAUUUCUCCAUCUAGGUGUUUUUGAAGUAUUCACGGCUGCCUGACACCAAAAAUCGGUUCUGAAGGAGAAAGGUGGCAUGUGGGGCAGCAUUAUCUGUUCCACCUCAAAUGAUCUGAAUACUCAAGUCAAUUUCUAGAAGAAUUGACCUAUUUGAGCUUUUAUUUGGCUGGCAUAUCAUUGCCCCUGAAUUGUUUGGUUUCAUUUUGCAUAAUGCAUAUCUGUUUUGUUCUUCUUCUUUUUUAAAAAAAACAAAUGGUGCCUCAAAGUUAUUGACAGUCAGGGUUUAUUCCUGUCGUGACUUUCUUCCUGAACCAGGUGAGUUAACUGCGAACAUAGGAAGCUGCCUUCUUAUGGGGUCUGACCAUUGUAACUCGUACUUGUUACUCCUGGAAUCAUAGAAUUGUAGAGUUGAAAGGGACCUGAGGGUCAUCUAGUCCAACCCCCUGCAAUGAAGGAAUGGUUAGUAGCACUUCUCCAAGGUUGUCCAAAUGCAAAUCUUGAAGUUUGCUUGCCUGCUUUUCCCCCCAAAAGAUAGUUUGAAUCUGCUUCCCGAGACUCUUAAACUCAGAUUCUGGCCAGGCACUUUCUGCAUGGGAAGCUUGGUCUCUCCACCUUUGUGCCAUUGGAGCUCCCCUACUGCCAGAGGCUUCUGUAAUAAAUGAACUCUGGAAGCCAUCCUCAACCCAUUUUGAACUUGGGAGAGUUCAUUAUUCUUCUGAGCCUGCUGUCAGUCCAUUACUCCUCAAAGCUGCAUUGGGGGGUGGGGGGACAACACGAGCCAGUACAAAACAACAGCAACAACAGAUGCUUAGAGCUAUCACUUGAUUAAAGAACUCUUAGUCAAUCAAGUGUAUGAGUUCACAGUGAAAUUAUAUGUGCACAGUUCCUUGGGAGUAAGUGGCAUGACUUAACCCAAUGGGACUUCUAGAUAAACAUGCCAAGUCAGUGACUCGGUUAGUUAUAUUUGCAUAUAUUGGCACAUACCAAAACAAUAGUCCUGAAGCAAAAAGCAUCCUUUGUGUUUAGUUUUUUGUUUGUUUGUUUGUUUGCUACCUUUCUAUGCCCCCUUUCCUCCAAGGAGCUCAAACUGGUGUACAUAGUUCUCUCCACAACUCCCCCUCCAUUUUUAUUCUCACAACUAGGGUUUUUUUUCCAGUCGGAGCUCACCAGGACACAAUGCCUGGCUAAGAGACAAUGCCUGGCUAAGCUAACCCAGUGAGCUCCAUGGCUCAGUGGUAAACCCUGGUCUCCCAGGUCCUAAUAUGUAUGCUGGAACAGGCAUCAUCUUCCAAAUGGCAUUUCCUUUCAUGUAAGGGAGGAGAAGAAGGUUUAUUUUAAGAUGGUCCUUGAUGCCUGCACUUUUUCCUAGUACUUAUUAGUAGCCCCCUGUAAUGGCAUAUGCCAAUCUGAUUUUUUUCCUGUAGUUUAUUACUGCAGAUCAGUCAAGUUGGCAUAACUUGAUAUAAAAUACGCCCCUCAAUGAACUGUUUUCACCCUGGUACAAUUCCUUAUCUCAAACGAGUCCAGGAAGGCAUUGGUAAAUAUUCUGAGCUCUUAAUACUUAAUGUAAAGAUCAGCACACUAAUCCUAGGUUAUCAGUAAACUUAAUUUUCACCUCCUGCUGAGGUUCUGCAGAGACAAUAGUAUCUUCCUCUUAAAAAACAACAACCCCAGGAUUCAGGAAACAUACAGUCAACCAGUUUUGUCAUUUCUUAGCAGGGCCAUGUCCUUUCUGCUGUCAGCUAGGAAAGGUAAAGAAAAAAGCAGAUGGGAACUUGUAGGAAAUAAACAAUAAAAAAGGAAUACAGUGGUAGCUCAGGUUAAGUACUUAAUUCGUUCUGGAGGUCCAUUCUUAACCUGAAACUGUUCUUAACCUGAAGCACCACUUUAGCUAAUGGGGCCUCCUGCUGCCGCUGCACUGCCGGAGCACGAUUUCUGUUCUCAUCCUGAAGCAAUGCUCUUAACCUGAAGCACUAUUUUUGGGUUAGCGGAAUCUGUAACCUGAAGCGUAUGUAACCUGAGGUACCACUGUAAAGGUAUUAUGAGAAAUCACCUGUCUAAAAAAGCCCCCCUCCCCUUUUCAUUAGAAUACAUUGACUUAAAAUAGUACAAGAACUCCAAUUUUCCAGUGGCUGGGUAGCUCUCAAAGCUCCACUGAAACCCCCUCUUUGCACCUCAGUAAUCUCACGAACCAACACUUCACUGGGCCACAGACCAAGGAAUGGCUGAGAGAGAAGCUGUAGCCUUGCUGGUACAGGUGACUGAUGAGGAGAGCAUAACUCUCAAAGGAAAGGUGCAGCAGGAUGGUGCUUAUGUAAGAAAGGGCAUUUGUGAGGUCAGAACUAGUGACAUGUCACAGAUCUGGCCCUUGAGCAACUUAGCAGGUGAGGUGGAAUCCUCUCCCCACGUUUGCCACCCCUGCUUUAGGGGUUCACCAGAUCUCAAACAUCUUCUAGGAAGACCUCUAGAUUUUGUUUUGAGAUGGCGUUUGUCCAGUACUGAAAUUCUACCCUCAUCGCUGAAGCUAAAGCAGCUGCUUCAGUAACAGUCCCUGUACUACAGGAUCAACAAAAUGUUUGCAAGGCUGAUAUUAGGUCACCUUUCCAGUAUAGACUGAAUACUGUACCAGCAUAAGAUUAAGAAAUGGUGGAAGCAGCUAGAUUCUGUUACACUGAAACCAGCAGCUAAGUGACAUUCAGCAAGAGAUUGGAUUGCAUUUUAAUAAGCUACAAACAGCCGAUAGAUUUGAUCCCGUGGAAAAUAACUCUUGAAGAUUUUCCACUUUGAUCAUGGAAAGAGAGAAUCAGCAAGAAUGUCAGUAAAUGGAAAACCACUCUACAUACUCAGAAAGAACUCCUUGACCUGUGAUGUAACUUAACAGCUCUCUUGCAGAAAGGUAGAAUAGUUUGGGAAAGCCACGUAGGUUUUAAUAUGAUGUCAAAACACUGCAAUGGAGGGGAAAUAGCAAGGAAAGUGUGGAAAGUUCUUCCGCAUGAGUCCCAUUAAAAUGAAUGGGAGCUACAAAGGAGCAUACAGUAGUAAGUGCUGUUAUUUCCUCAAGAUUUGUCUUGCAGAAGAACUGCUUGUAUUUGGUUACAAUUAGAACACGUCCACACCACGGAUGUAAACUGGUUCCAUAAUACUUCCCUUUCCAGUGCAGAAACCUGGGAGCUAUAACUUUGCACAGAAGGCUAGAGAUCUCUAACAGGGCAGCCCCACCAAGCUACAGUUUUCAGGGGUUCGGGUUGGGGGGAAUCUUAUACCACAGAGUGGUGUAAAAUCAACAUGACUUCAUAGUGUAAAUCUGUUUUUACCUACAGUUGUGUAAACAUACCUGAAGAUCGCUUUCCUGGAAGGUAGCACAUUCUUGGGGCAGUCUUCUUCAUGGUCGGUAUCCUUGUGAGACUGCUGUGAAUCAGGUGGUUGACCUGGUCAGCUGAUCUUAGAACCCAUUUGGAUAGGCUUUGGGCAUGGUCAGAUGGUGAGAACUUAGGGCUGGGGCAGGAACUUAGGGUAGGGGUCCUGCCCUAACUGCUGAACUUAAGCCUUCAAGUAGUAUAGAAGAGAGAUGCAAUGCAGUAUCUGGCUCCCAUUCUGAUGAUGUAUGGAUGCUUGGGAAGCAGUUAAGGCUCGUCAUCAAGGAUUUCUCUGCAGCAAACCAGCUCAAGAGGACUGGAUACAUAUGGUGGCAUUUGUAGUAAAUUCUAUUUGCAGGUUCAGUAAGUGGGAAGCAAGCAUACCUGCAGAUAGUAUUUUUUGUUUAGUCAUGUCUGACUCUUCGUGACCCCAUGGACCAGAGCACGUCAGGCACUCCUGUCUUCCACUGCCUCCCACAGUUUGGUCACACUCAUGCUGGUAGCUUCAAAAACACUGUCCAACCAUCUCGUCCUCUGUCAUCCCCUUCUCCUUGUGCCCUCCAUCUUUCCCAACAUCAGGGUCUUUUCCAGGGAGUCUUCUCAUGAGGUGGCCAAAAUAUUGGAGUCUCAGCUUCAGGAUCUGUCCUUCCAGUGAGCACUCAGGGCUGAUUUCCUUCAGAAUGGAUAGGUUUGAUCUUCUUGCAGUCCAUGGGACUCUCAAGAGUCUCCUCCAGCACCAUAAUUCAAAAGCAGAUAGUAUUAGCACCUGCCUAAAUUAGCAUCAGCUAAUCAGCUUCAAUCCUACCCCCUACAAACAGAACAAAACAGCAACACCCUGAGAAGUCAUUUUGCCAGCCAGCUGUAGAUGUUUAAAUGUCUUUCUUUUUUAAUGGCCAAAUUAAAAUAAAAACCUCUCUCCCCAAUCCCCACUGUGACACACAAACUUCCAGGCAGCAGCCUUGUUUAAAAUCAAUUGUUAGAUUGCUGUGCAGGUCAUACCCAGCCACUCUUGAGUUGGUUGGCAUCCAUCUGUCUUGGGAAACAAUGGAGGAGUGCACAUUUAGAGGUGAAGUCGAACCGUUGGAAGGUUGAUGUGUUUGCUGUGGCUGUAGAGACAGAUACAGGAAAGAUAUGUUUUGUUGCAGCUGGGGCAGGUGAAGGUGUUUGGUUGUGCUAAUGCAGAUGCACUAUGUUAACAUUCAUUGCUAGUGUCCAGACUGCCAAAAAGCACAACACUGGUUCAUGCCAUUAAAAGUAGUUCACUAGAUUGAGGGAAAAGGUAGCUCUUUCAAAAUCACUCAACAGUUUCAGAAUGUAAACAUAGCAAAGUCUGUAAUCCAUCUAUUUACAGACUAGCUGAUGCCUUUAUGGGCUACCCAUAAAGUAUCCAAUAGGAAUCAAGCCAUACCCAAUGAAUCAGGUCAUAAACCAGCAAGGGAUAUUUAUUUAUUAAUUGGGAAGUAUAACCUGCCCCAAACCAAAGGCAGAAAACAGUAGCUCAAAACCUCUCCAGAGAACAGAAUGAAAUUUAACCAAGGUUGAAAUCCCCAUUCGGCCACUGAGUGACCACUGUCUCUGAGUCCACCUCGCAGGGUUGUUUUAAGGAGGAAACUGGAUUGGAGAGAACCAUGUAUGCCACAUUAACCUCCUUGGAGGGAAAGUGGGAUGGAAAUAUAAUAAAUAAGUAGCAAUACAUAAAAUCCAUUGGCAUUUCUCCUCUUUUUCCCAACAUAACCCUGAGGCUCCAGACAUUAGCCAAAGCAAGUGCAUCUGAGAGGUGUGCAGCAGUGAAUUGCAGAAGUGGAUUCCAGAGACCACAGGCUUGAACAAUUUCAAGAGUCCAAGGGGAGACAGUGGCCAAGGUGCUUAUUGAGAGGGCCGGGCACACGGGGCCAAAGCAGAUGCAACCCCACCCAGUUAGGAACCCCCAUCCCGUCCCCAGCAUAUUUGUUCCAAAUGCAUUGCUACUUGUAUUGUUGUUGUUGUUCUUUAAAUUGUCAUGAGCCACGUUAUAAGCCAAUUUAUGAUUGGCAAGCUGGAUAAAGAUACGCAAAGAAAUUAGACCUUGGAGUAUUUCAGUGCCAGAGCUUCCCCAUCUGCACUGGCUCAGUACACCAGCAGCUUCACUCUGUUACAAAACCUCGGGCAAGGCUGGGUGCCUGGGACUGUCAAGUCUGAUUAGCAGACAUCAUAAACAAUUAUUUGCUGUCUAUUGCUGCUGCCACUAUAGUCGGAAGUGGAAAUGUACAGAAUGAACGCUAAGCUUGCUCAGGAGUCUUUGGUGAAGUACUUCAUCAAACGCUUUGUGGAAGUCCAAGGCUCAGAGUGUUGCACGUCUUUUAGCAUUUGACAUUGCACAGCUCACCUAAACACCAAUAUCAACAUGAUUUGGGUCCACACCACACAUUUAAAGUGUGUUGCUUCCUGCAAAAAACACUGAGAAUGUAGUUUGUAUGGGGGGGCUGGGAAUCAUAGCCCUGCGUAGCUCCCAGGAUUCUCCAGAGGAAGUAAUGUGCUUUAAAUGUAUGGUACACAUAUGACAUUACAGUCAUACCUUAGGUUACAGAUGCUUCGGGUUGUGCGAUUUCGAGUUGCGCACCGUGCCGAACCCAGAAGUACCGGAACGGGUUACUUCCGGGUUUCGGCGCUUGCACAUACGCAGAAGCGCUAAAUUGCGCUUUGUGCAUGCACAGAAGCGCCAAAUCGCGACCCGCACGUGCGCAGACGUGGCGCUGCGGGUUGCGAAUGCUGUGGGUUGCGAACGUGCUUCCCACAUGGAUCACGUUUGCAACCCGAGCAUCCACUUUAAUCAGCAACACGCUCUGAAUUCCUAGUCUCCUCCUUGCCUUGCAUUAGAUCCCUGGCCUGCUGUUGUCCUUUUUUACCCCCCAACCCAAGACAGGAGAUAAUAUCAGUCUGUUCUAGAGAUUUAUGCUGAGUGGGAUUGUGUUAAAUAAUUUUUUUAAAAAAAUCUUUUGGAGUUCUGAACAAGUUUUAGAUGCCAAGUUUCUUUAAACUGCCAUCAAUUACUAUUAAGAUAUAUUUUUCCCAUGAAGUUCCUUUUUAUAUAGAACUGUGUUUAAUUAUUUAAAAUGAAGAUUAAAAAUGCCCUUUUGCAUGAUUUUAAAGACAACUGUUGGGGUUUCUCAGUUUGUAGAGCAUGAGACAGGUGGGUUUGAGCCCCACAUUGGACAAAAGAUUCCUGCAUUGGACUAGGUGACCCCUGUGGUCUCUUCCAGCUCUACAAUUCCAUGAUUCUAAAGUGCCCCUUUGAGUUCAUUUCCCUGCCACGAAAACUCAUUUAAAAAAGACCUGGGGCAACAUGUGCAAUUUGUCAGCAUUAGCAGUCAAGGGGAGGGAAGAAUGAAUGGAAGAGGUAGCCUUGGGUCAACAGAUCCUUGGAUUACAUGGAUGUUUGGGACUGGCAGGAUGAGGAUGGGAGAAAUUGUGUUGGCAGGUGGUGGGAUUUUAGAAAGGAUUCAGGGGACAAGUGGAAAGCUGGUUAUGGGAUUUGGGUGGGGCGAAGACAAGCUGGUAAGGCGGGCAGCUGGUGAAGGGGCAGCAGCAAUGCUGGUAAAGGGGGUUUGGCAUGUAAACUGUGAAAGGCUGGCACACUGGAAAGGGGAUUGGAUGGUGAGGUGUUUUGAAGGUGGUUGAUGGGCGCAGGAGUGUCAUGACCCUGGGGUGAUCAGCUUGAUAGCUCAGUUGGUUACAGCAUGGUGCUGAUAAUGCCAAGGUUGCAGGUUCGAUCCCCAUAUGGGACAGUUGCAUAUUCCUGCAUUGCAGAGGUUUGGACUAAGGUGGUCCUCAGGGUCCCUUCCAACUCUACAAUUCUAUGAUUCUAUUCCUCAUCUUCAAGGAACAAGGCUGUAGAUUUGUAUGAAGUAUCAGAUGAACAAAUACAAUGAAUAAUAACGAUGCUGAUGCCUGAUUGAGGUUGGUUUGGUGGAAUUGACAUUUUUGCCAAUCAAAUACACUUCCCUGCCUACUGGGAAUGUGACUCUCUGAUCUGCAGUUUAUUAUUCAUAGAGUGCUUCCUUGCAGUGAUUUUCCUUCAAAAACUGGCAGUCCACAGGGUCACCACACUAUUGCAGCAUACUCUCCAUCAUGGUCUCAUUCAAGAGAAUUUUCCUAAUAUAUAUCUUGGGGGUGGUGGGAUUGUUUUAUUUAGAUUUUUAAAAGCAGAAUCCAGCAAAAGACAUACAUUUCCUCCAUGGGUGCAGGCUUCCUACACUCCAAUUCCUACCUCCAUUUCUCGCCUCAGUUUACUUCUUGCCAAAUAUCCCACACACACCAAUUUGAUGUUAUUAUAUAAACAACCCCCCUUCACAUUAAAGUAAUGGUAGACUUGCAGAUAAGCAGUCAACGUUAAAUUUAACCAUGCAGCAAUAAACAAUGACUAAAUUAAAGUGCGAGAGUAAAACCCAAUUGCAUUUCACAAGAAUUCAGGCAGUUAUAAUCAACUAGGAAACAACCUUCGAAGAAAAUAAAAUGAACAAGAUGCUUUCCAGAAAACAAACCUCUUAACGUCUCGUCCAGCGGACCUCCCCCAACUGCAAUUUGCUCAAAUAAAUGUGUGUGAGAUAAUAAAGGUAAACACAGAAAACACUGUUGUAAACACAACUUUAGGGUCAUUGCUGCACACACAUCCCCAGCCAUCACAACAUCUCCUAGUAGCGAUGUGCAAACAAGCACUCUUUGUGUGUGGGAUGGGGGGGGGGACACAGGGUCACACCUGCCAGAUCUCUAACACACUUGCCAACUAUGCUGUACAAACUAUAUGUUCAGCAAGUCAUUCAAGGGAGGACAACUGGCCAGCCAGUUUUUGAUCCUAAAGCUCUUCCAGGCAGGGAUGUGUCUUUGUGUUGUAAUAACUAUUGCAAGCAUCAUUAACACCAAUGGCCCUAUGUAAAUAAAUAAUAAAUUUGCUCAGUUUUGCUACAUCAGCUGUCUCUCAAGUUCUGUUUUAGUCCUAUAUUUAAAACAUUAAAAAUCCAAACAUAUGAAUUGCCUAUGUCAUCUUAUGAAGGCAAACAUGGGCAUGGUCAGGAUUUAUGUCGGCGGGGCAGGAGAAAGGACACCCACCUGUCCUGUUCCAGAACCGAGCUACCUGUGACGCGAUUGGGCAGUUUGCAGAAGCCACGCCUACUGCUCAGUCAGGUUUCCAGUUGUGUCACUAGAAUGCGCCACAAUAUCAUUCAAGUGAACUCAGCGAGCAUUUCAAUUCCAAAUAUCCUGAUUAUUUCUAAUUUUAGUUAAGCAUUUUUAUGAUUGGGGGGCACCUGCCCCCUUGUCCCCCUGGCUAUGCCCAUAAAGGCAAACUUGACUUUCAAAACAAAUUCUAAUUAUCUGUAUCUGACCACUUAUCGGUUCAGUAUUUGAUUUGUCUGACCAGUGAGGUAGUGCAAUUAUAAAACAUUGGGUUCUGAAAUGCCAAUGAAUUCAAGGUUCUGCCAGGCCCAGCACACCAUUUUCUGCAAGUCUCCACCCACAAGCCACCAGGUUCUAUUCAGGCUCCGCCCCAACUUCCCAUGUGCCGCACUUGGCUCCACCUCCAAUCUGCCAGAUUCUCUAGGUGCCACAUUUGGUCACAGCAGGUUCAUCAGGCUCUGCCUGCUCAGGUUUCAAACAUCAUCACUUGUCCUGCACUACGGCAACUGUGAUUUCAGAAGUUACAGGAACUAUACAGAAUGAAAUUCUUAAGACAUGUGUUUUUUAAUGUUUAUGUCCUGCUAUGUGGGUUCAUAUUGGGAUAUACAAUCUUGUCUGCAAGUCACACCAAGUCACAAAGGCAAAAGUUUAGAGGACUUUCUGGAGAAGUUUAACAGGUCUCGCCGUCACUUGAAUGACAGAUGUACUCAAGGUCUUGGUGACAUUGGCAGUGGUACAGAGGCAAUGUUUUUCCUUCUCUCUCUCUCUCUCUCUCUCUAUAUAUAUAUAUGUAAAAGGACAAAGUGUUCUGAACCAUUUUACUAACCUGUCAGGAAUACAGAUUAUUUCCUUUAAUACCUCUCAUCUAACCAACCCACUCCUUUUCACUACGGAACUAAUAAUUUUCAAAUCCUUAUUUAUAAUGGGGGAAUAAGGAAUGCUAUAAGGUGACUUCCAAAGGGCACAGAGACCACAGACAGCACAACCUGGGAUCCGUUCUGUCUUUGGCCAACCCUCUGGGGACCACAUGCUAUACGGUGCAUGUGGCAACCCCACUCUCCCCCCCCCACACUCUUGCAUGUGUGCAUGCACACGCACACACAGGUGGACAUUCACACAGGUACAUAGGCCCCUUCGCCAGCUGAUCCAUGACAUGAUGGAGGAUCCUAGAAUAGAUGGGUCUUUGGCCUGAUCCAGCAGGGCUUUUCUUAUAUUCUUACUUCAAAGCUGGGGCAGGGGGCUCUGCAGGGGAGAAGAAAACUAGUGGGGCAGCUAUAAAAAUGCUAGCACACAUUUGCAAAGCUAAGCAGGGUCUGGUGUUGUUUUGAAUUGGAUGGGGAACCGCAUGUUGAGAUUCCUGCAUUGCAGGAGGUUGGACCAGAUGGCCGUAGGGGGGAGUCAUUUCCAAUGCUAUGAUUCUAUGAAAACCCUCUACCAAUGCAGAAAAAUAUGAAGGGUCAAAAUCCCUCCCCAAGCUGUAGCGGUAUUGUGGUGCAGUAUUCACACUUUCCCAAGCCCUCAUGAGAGCCCAGGGCAGUAGAGGCAGGUCUGUAGGUACUGAGACCAUUAUCUGAGCCUUGGCAUCAAGGAGAACAUCAUGGCACCAGGGAAUUGGAGGGAGGACAACUCACUCUCAACAGAAGAGUUCCCUGCCUUCUUUUUCAUUACCUUCCCCAGAAACUGCUUUUGGACACCCCUUUCCCGCCUGCUCUCUUGCCUUGUGGUCAGGAAUGGAAAGUUGGAUUUGAAGCUCCAGUGUCGUACAGAAGCAGGAGAACAGGUUGACCAACCUAUUGUUUGGUUGGUGGAAGAAAGGUUGAGGGCAAAUAAGUAUGUUGUGUUUUCAUGCUUCUCCCUACCACUUCCUGGUUGGGGACUCCUCAGGAAUCCCUCUCUGUUUCUGUUUCCUCUUAUUUAUUAGGCAGUGUCUUAUCGUAGCCCUGCCAGUGUUGUGCUUGUUCAUGACUGUUGGCCAUGCUGCCCGAGGCUGAUGGAAGUUGUAGCUCAACAAUACAGUGGUACCUCGGGUUAAGAACUUAAUUCGUUCCGGAGGUCCGUUCUUAACCUGAAACUGUUCUUAACCUGAAGCACCACUUUAGCUAAUGGGGCCUCCUGCUACCGCUGCACCGCCACUGCACGAUUUCUGUUCUCAUCCUGAAGCAAAGUUCUUAACCUGAGGUGCUAUUUCUGGGUUAAUGGAGUCUAUAACCUGAAGCGUCUUUAACCUGAAGCAUAUGUAACCCAAGGUACCACUGUAUCUGGAGGGGACCAGGUUGGGGAAGACUAAUACCUGGUAGCUGGUACCUGUUAUACUUAUUGGUCUCUUGCUUGUUUUGGGGUCUCUCUCUGAGCUACAAUUCCUAGAGUAGUUUAACUAUCAAUAAUUCUCCACAGGGAACCCUGGGAACUGUAGCAUUGUGAGGGAAAUAGGGCUCUCCUAACAACACACAGCAACACACAGCAAAUUCCUAGGAAUUUCUGGGAAAAGCAAAGACUGCUUAAAGUGGAAUGAUCUUGCUUUAAAUGUAUAAUACAGAAGGGGCCUGGGAAUGCCUGUCCAUCUUUACUCUUAAACCGCAAGCCUGCGGUCAAUGAGUGUCCUCUUUUAAUCUCUUUGAGCUGCCGAGAUACCAUCUGCCUAGAUGCCUAGAUAGAACUGCAGUUUCUGAAGUGAUGAUUAACUUUCCCCAAAGGUUCAGACUUCCUAUUUUAUGGUACACAAUGAAAUACAGCUUGUCAGCUCCCAGGCUGAGAAAUAUGCAGCAAAUAAUACACAACCCUGCAAGUGAGAGAGGGCUUCAAUUCUUCAAACCAUUUGAAAGUGUAGGCAGCUAACUAUCCCCCCAUGAAUUCACAGGAACAGACUUAAAAGAGGUUUAGGGUGAUUUUCCUUCCACUACCGCGGAUCAGAAGUCAUUCAGAGACCAUUAAAGCCAGCCUUACCAGAAACAGCCAAUCUCUGGAUCUCAUAAAAAUGCAGCCUCUGAAAUGUGAUUUAGUGUGCUUUGGGAAUGAACUUUCCUUCACCCAAAUUUCCUAGAGUUGCAGGGACAUGGUACCAGCUGUUUUUCAUCUUCUCUAUUGAAGAACAGACAAAGCUCUGGUACUUGGGUACCAAUCAUCUUGGAGCAGGCUUAGUCAAUAUGUGCACUCCAAAUAAGCUUUGUGUGGGGCCCUGGGGCACAUUCUAAAAACACAUGAUGGCACAACCAUGCAAAAACCAAGCAGGUCUGGAUCUGUGCAGUUCUUCAGAUGGGCACUGAAGACCUUUCCCAGUUUGCAUCUGCCCUGGUUUUUUCAUUGUUUUAUCACUUGUUGGCCUCCCCUGAGUUCCUUUGGGAAGAAGGAUAGGACAUAGAUUUAGUAAAUAAAUACAUACAUACAUACAUACAUACAUACAUAAUCUUCCUACACCUGAAUAAUGUACAAAUAACUUUGGGAAUAUACUUUGAGCCCCUUUCUUGCAGGAGGAAUGUGCAGAUAUCUUGUUUUCAUUGUGGUGUCUGCUAGAACCAUUAGAUAUGUACCAAAGCCUUAAACCUCUGGCUUUCCCAACCAAAAGAUCAAUUGUCUACUUCCAGUAUGGGCAUCCACAGUUUUGUUUAAAAUAUAUAUACUAUAUAAAUGUGCAGUAUGUUUAAAUCUCCCCUUCCUUCCUCCUACAGUAUUAGAAAUAAUAAAUGGUUUGCCCCAAAAUUGCACAGGGUAUUUACCACAGAACCAGAAACAUAAUGUAGGUAAUGUUGAAAGUCAGUGCUUAUCCCUGUAUAGAUUUAAAUAUAUUUGGAUAGUUUCCCGUGUCUUGUUUGGCACUAUCAUAAUCUAUAGGGUUUUUAAGGCAGCAGAAAAUAGUAAGAAAACAAGCUUUCCGGCACAUAUGCUAGUAAAUCUGUCUAAAGAAAAAAGACCCAAGUGUUCAUCUCAUGUUUGAACUAGUACUACAUCACACUUAGAAUCAGACUGAAAAUGGGAAAGGAAAAGUGUGAGCUAGAUUUCUCCCACCACCUGCCCCAUUGCCAGCUUCAAAAGGUAUUGCCGGAAGCAUAGCAUGCCAGUUCACUUGUCUAUGAUUUGACUUCAGUCAUCCAACAUUUGCUAAACGUCAGUCAUCUAUCUUUUCUCUUUUUUUAACUUGGCUUCAUUCAUCUAUCCCUUGUUAGCUAUGAAGUCACCUGUCAGGGAGAGCUUUCCAGAUAAGGACUCUUGUCCCCUCUUUAAAAAUCUGGUUCACCCUAAUACUUCUGAUAGUUAAUAGUGAGCCAGCUGAACUCUAAAGGUAAAGGGACCCCUGACCAUUAGGUCCAGUCGUGACCGACUGGGGUUGCGGAGCUCAUCUCGCUUUACUGGCUGAGGGAGCCGGCGUACAGCUCCCUAGUCAUGUGGCCAGCAUGACUAAGCCGCUUCUGGCGAACCAGAACAGCGCACGGAAACGCUGUUUACCUUCCCGCCGGAGUGGUACCUAUUUAUCUACUUGCACUUUGACAUGCUUUCGAACUGCUAGGUGGGCAGGAGCAAGGACCGAGCAACGGGAGCUCACCCCGUCGCGGGGAUUCGAUCUGCCAACCUUCUGAUCGGCAAGUCCUAGGCUCUGUGGUUUAACCCACAGCGCCACCCGCGUCCCUAGCUGAACUGUAAAGUGCAUUAAAGCCAAACAGAAGACUAGGAAUGGGGAUUAAGCUUGAGGAUGUGCAUGAAGAUAUGUAUGUUGACAUUCAAAGAACUUAAAAGGCCCAUGUGGUCCAGCAUCCUAUUCUCACAAGGGUCAACUGGGUGCCCAUGAGAAGCCUGUAAUCAGGACCCGAGUUCAACAAGACUCUCCCCACUUGCGCCAGCAGCUGUUAAAUACAGUGGCACGUUUUCUUAAUUCUAAUAAUCAUAGCUUAUUUGGGUUGAAAAUGAAACCAGUUUUUUAUCCCUUGUUGAUUUACUGAUUUACUUGCUCUGAGACCUAAGGCUGAAGGCCACCUAAUAAAGGUUUCACAGUCCAUCCAUUGAUUAAGUUUGCCUACAAGAUUGCUUUACCCAAUGUGCCCACUCCACCGCUUCAAUCAGCAGAAUGGGCACUUUUACAGGUGCCACAUAAUACCUGCACCCCAUCUGUAAGAACUUGAUUGUUUAGUGUGACAGCACUGACACUUUGGAACUCCCUGCCUCUUGAUAUCAGACAAGCGCCUUCAUUGAAUUCUUUUCGGCACCUGCUGAAGACAUUCUUAUUUAGACAAGCCUACUCAGAUGUUUAGAAAUUUCAUAUGGGUUUCAGUUUCUUUUAGUCUAUUCUAUUGUGGUUUUAACUUUCUACGUAUUUUAAAUAAUGGUUGUAACUUUUUUUUAGUGAUAAUGUUAUUUUUUUAUCUUUGUUGUACUGUAAACCUCUUUGAGGUUUUCCCCCUACAAUCCAGCAGUAUGUACAUUUUAUGAAAUAAACAAAUAAGGAUGCAGAUAUACAUUUAAAUCUACAAACUGAAGCUAUUUUGCACUGAGUCAGGCUAUUAUAUGGUCCUUCACUGCAGAACUUAUUUUACAAGAUAGUAUAGGCUAUGGAUCAGACCACCAUUUAUCUUGUUCAGUAGUGCCUUUUCAACAGUGGUCCAGCCAGAGCAUGGUGUGGUAGUUUGUCCCUGUUGUUUGUCCUCAGCACCUGACAUUCAAAGGUAUACUGCUUCAACAUGGAGUAUCCAUUAUGUUCUGUGCAUCACGAGCCUAAAGGGUUUACAUGUGAUCAUACCCUAUAUGGGUGAGGAAAGACUGUCUGAGCAAAUUUCAGACAAAUCGCAUACAGCGAACAGCUGCCAGCAUGACAACAGGUGUGAAUUAAUGCAGGUGGGUCACAUUCCUACAAAGGGUGGAAUCAGACAAGCCAAAAGGUGACCUAGCCAAGAUAUCAACAUUUCUAGAAUCCAGCCAGCUGAUACUCUUAUUGGCAUUGCCAUGCUAUAGGCAAUGAGGUGCGUAAAAGGAUUAUCUGCUUAGGUGACAAGAAUUGACUUUGCCAAAAUAUGAGGAGACGCCCUGUACUGUGGAUUCAUUUUGUUAUGUCAUGUUUAUUUUGCUUUCCCUUCCUCCAGGAUCUAAUUAAGCCCAUUAUAAAAUCAACAAUGAGCGAAAAGGACAACUUCUUCCAUGUACCCAAAUGAAUAAGUGGGCCAGUGUGGGGAAAUUCCACAGAGUUGUUCAGCAGCUGCUCUUUGAGCUCAGACAGCAAAGAGGCUUAUGGUACCUUGCAGCUUACAAUGGCAUAAACUAGACUAGAGCCAACUUUGUCAGAUGCAUGAAGAAUCCUACAAUUGUAGAGUUGGAAAGGGUCCUGAGGAUCAUCUAGUCCAACCCCCUGCAGUGCAGGAAUAUGCAUCUGUACCAUAAGGGGAUAAAAUCUGCAACCUUGGCAUUAUCAGCACCACACUCUAACCAAGUGAGCUUUCCAGGCUCCAGCAGAGUUCUGCAAUGAGCACUGAUGGUUCAUAGCUUUGAAGCUGGGCUCACCCCUGUUCUGUAGGGACUGGCAUUUUGUAUUGGAGUGGGCUACAGAGAAAGAAAGCAAAACAUGGACAGGGAAGGAGGCAGGGUUUUGCAAGCUGGCAGGAGGAAGCAGCCUUAUUUUAUUAAAUAUUAUAUCUAUUUCACCCUUCAUUGUAUAAGUUCCCAGGACGGUUCAUGAUGACAGGAAAACAAUAAGGAAAACAAUGCAGUCUGCUAAAACCGCACCAGCAGCAACUGUUUAAAAAGCCUGGGUAAAUAUAAAGACAACAAAGGGUUGGCCCUGUGCUCUUGGCAAAACUAAAGCUGCUUUGCUACUGCUGCCUGCCUUGCUUCCCAUGCUCAGUCUGUUCAUCUGCAGAUAAACAGUUCUCUCUCUCUCUCUCUCUCUCUCUUACACACACACACACACACACACACACACACACACACACACCCCUACCUCUGCAAGUGUCUGGGUACCCUCUUUUCACAAGUGCAGUGGCUGUACUUCAGGAGUGGGGAACCUGUAGCUCUCCAGAUAAUGCCCUCCAGACUUCAACUCUCAUCAACCCCAGCCAGCACCUCAAAUGAUCAGGGAUGAAUGGAGUUUCAGUCUAGCAACAUCUGGGUGGCCACAGGUUUUCCAUCCCUGGUUUACCACUUGGGAAACGGGGAGCUUGUCACCGGCACACAAAACACAUAUUUAAUGGCAGUAUUGCCUUGUGCAAUAACUGCUUCAUUUAAUACCCUAUUGUCACUCAGUAGCUGGUCAGUUUCAGGCAUACCCAUUCCUCUAACUGCCGCGCGACAGACUGGCAUAUUGUUUCAGGCAAGCACUGGUCCAAGCCAGCUUUCACUGUCAAGACAUCUUUGGCUUUCUCUGAGUGCGAAAUUCCUGGUGUGCUUGUGCAGGACAUGUAAGCUGUUAAUUGCCUCAAGAGCAAGACUUUUUCCCUUGAAGGAGAAUUCAGGCUAAGGGAGGUUUUGCCUCCAUAUCCCUUUCCAUGCCACCCGAGAAACAGCUGUUAACUACCAGAUGCCUAAAGUGGAUGGCAAAACUAUGGGACGAGCAAGGGCUUUGCUAUGCGCAACUGUUCCCUCGCUGAAAUGCCAGAGAACUCUUGCAUUGCUUCCCAGUGACAGAGGGAAAGUGUGUGUUCCUGUGGAUGAUGUCCAAGUUCUUUAAUUGGACCACAAUUUAGAAGAGGUCAAGGAUACCCAGUUGCACGGCCUGAUGCCCCGGAGUCUAAGACAUCGGCGGACAUAAUAUUAAAAGGAGGCUCAGAAGGGCAUUUGUCAGAUGCACUGCCAAUCUGUCUUCAUGGCUGAACUGACAGACAAGCAUCCCAUCAAACGAAGCAGUGGCUCAACUUGUCAGUCUUGCUCUUUUUUUCACCUUCAUUGCUGCUACUUCCUUCUGCAAUAGGAGAACAUUAACAAAGCAGCCUGCAGUCAAGUGUGUAGGAUAGGAAACUUCCAGUCUCCAGCAACUACCUGCAGGAAGCCAUGUCAAUUUUCACCAACCAGAGCAGAGGGGAAGCAGCAAAGGUUGCGGCAGUAAAGGGGAUUGGGGGCACACAGGCCAAUCUAAUUUAGGCACGAAGGCUCAUUUGCAGUGCAGUCACAGUGGAGCGAGCUGUUUUAUUGUGUCAUAUCUGUCUUCUCCGACUCUUAUCAGCCCCAGCAAGCAUGGGAUGAUGUGAGUUGUAGUUAAACAAGAUCUGGAGGGGCCACAGGUUCCCUGCUCCUGGUUCUCUUGAAAUGGACAAGUAGUCAUUGCAGCUGAUACAUCAUUUUAGUAACAUGCUCAGUAUAAGAACCUAUCUUACACCAAAUCAGGUGACUGGCCCAUCUAUCUAUUAACUACCGUAUUUUUCGCUCUAUAAGACGCACCAGACCAUAAGACACACCUAGUUUUUGGAGGAGGAAAACAAGAAAAAAAAAAUCUGAAUCUCAGAAGCCAGAACAGGAAGAGGGAUCGCUGCGCAGUGAAAGCAGCAAUCCCUCUUGCUGUUCUGGCUUCUGGGAUAGCUGCGCAGCCGGCAUUCGCUCCAUAAGACGCACACACAUUUCUCCUUACUUUUUAGGAGGGAAAAAGUGAGUCUUAUAGAGCAAAAAAUACGGUAAAUUGACCGGCAACUGCUCUGCAGGGUUUCAGAAUGGGGACAUAGGCUUCAAUCAGCUAUGACUUGGGCUUCAGGUACUGGCCAAACAAUAAGCCUUAUGAAUCUGGUGCCAGAUUGGCUAAAAAGCUUGGCACCAUGACUUUCACAAUAGGUUUCCAUUCUGGCCUCCCUUGCAGCCCCUCAGUUUUUGAAAGUCUUGGCUUCUUUGAGUCACUUACAAUGCAGUACUGCUAGUUGGCUGCAAGCAAAACAGACUGCAUAUUCUGCUCCAAUGGCUUAAGAAACACCCCAAGGUUCUCCAGAUGUUGCCAGAUUACAACUCCCAUCAUCCCUGACCAUUGGCUGUGCUGGGGCUGAUGGCAGUUGUAGCCCAUCAGUGUCUAGAGUGCCACAGGUUCCCUAGUCUAAAUUGUCCUAUAGAGUAUUCUGGAAAGCACAGAUUGUGAGCAUCUCUCUCCCAGUCUAAAUUCUGAGUUCUACAGUCCAGGAACAGCUAUACCAAGCAAUAUGCUGUGUCUAACCCAUCUCCUGCUUUCAAGUAAACUAUGCUCAGGAUUGCAACAAGAGAUUAAGAGUCUCAUGCUCUACCAACUGAGCUAUCUGGGAACGCAUACUUGUUUUCCAGGAGGCGCUAACCUGGUGCCCACAGAAGCACAUGUCCCCACAGAGGCCUUCCCUGGUGCCUGCAGGCUCCUCCACCCCCUGCUGAAAUUAAGCUUGAAUAAAGCAUUCUGUUGUAAGCAAUAGACUACUGUGUCCUUGGUCACGAUUUGUGUGCCCACAGCAGUUUCUCAAUUUUGCAAAUGUGCCCACAAGCUCAAAGACAUUGGUGACCCCUUUGUUAGAAUGUCACUAGUAUAGGAAAGUACCAAAAUAUGUAAAGUACCAAAUAUUUAAAGGAAAUCUGCUUUUCCAGCCAAGCAUCUCCAUGGACUCAGCUAUACAGCUGCAAAUAAAACGUUUUAAGUGUGGUAUCUGAAGAAGUGUGCAUGUACACUAAAGCUUAUACCCAGAAUAAACUUAGUUGGUCUCUAAGGUGCUACUAUGGGACGCGGGCGGCGCUGUGGGUUAAACCACAGAGCCUAGGGCUUGCUGAUCAGAAGGUUGGUGGUUCGAAUCCCCGUGACAGGGUGAGCUCCCAUUGCUCAGUCCAUGCUCCUGCCAACCUAGCAGUUCAAAAGCACGUCAAAGUGCAAGUAGAUAAAUAGGUACCGCUCCAGCGGGAAGGUAAACGGUGUUUCCAUGCGCUGCCCUGGUUCGCUGGAAGCGGCUUAGUCAUGCUGGCCACAUGACCCGGAAGCUGUACACGCCGGCUCCCUCAGCCAGUAAAGCGAGAUGAGCGCCACAACCCCAGAGUCGUCCGUGACUGGACCUAACGGUCAGGGGUCCCUUUACCUUUAAGGUGCUACUGGACAAUUUUUUAAAGUUUUUAAUUUAUUUCGCUGCAAAUAAAACGUUUUAAGUGCAAUAUACAAUGUGACACUAGAUGGCGAUAGUGAGCCUUAUGGAAAAUUCAAUGUAUUUUUUAAAAGGCUUUUUAAAAAAGCAUUUUUGAAAUGGUUUUUAUAUGUGUGUGGAUUCCACCCAUAUGUUGCUUUUAUGUUAUUGAAAAUAGAGAGAGAGACGGGGAUAAAGCCAACAGUUCCACAUUACAGGUACUAUACAGUAUAUUACUUACAGCCAGGCUCUUAGAGAAGCCUCAGAGGAAAAUUCCAUUCAUCAAAAAUGGUGUUUUGUGAAAGUUACAUUUCCCCCUUUCUUCUAUUAGCACACAUUGCAUCUUGUGUGUUGUUGAGUCUGUAUUUUAUUCACUUUACUGACUUAGAACAACUUUUUCUGCAAAUCUACCCCAACAGACAAUUUAUCUAACCUGCACUUUCUCUCCCACCGCCACAGCUUUGAGUUCAGGAAAAACGAUUGCAAAAAUAUGGCGUAAUGCCUAGCUUCUCAUCAAAUUCCAAGGAAACUCUUUUUGCAUUGCACACUUCAAGGGAAGCUGCUGUUCUUCUCAGUGACUUUUAAUAAAAUGUAAGAAGUAGUAAGGGGGGAGGUGUCUUUGUCUGAAACUUUCAGCAGCAUCGCUUGUCGUUAACUCGAGGCACACAUUACCCUGUAGUUGCUAUAGUUUAUGGUGCAAGUUGGAGACCGAGGCUAAAAGUGGUACAUAAAUUUCCCAACACUGUCAUAUCUUGAAGGGGAUAAAGUCGAUAUCUGGGUCAAAGCCACAGGGCAGAUGGCGCAGGACUUUCAUUGCAGAGAAAUAGGAAUAUUCCUUUUGGUUGGAAAAAAGGGGUGGAAAAGGAAAACAGAGAAAAUGCUGAUGAAGACUGAACACCCCAAACCAGCAAGGAAAACCCAGUGCAUGGCAUGAAGCAAGCAAAUGGUGCUCCGCGUGUCUUGGAGCCAAAGUAUUUUGAGGUUAUGAAUGAAAUUGCAUCCCGUCUUACGCAGGCUACUUAUAUAUAAGAGCUGUGAAAAUCUGCAGAACUGCCGGUGUGCCACCUGCAAUCAUACAAAUAUGCCAAACUGAGAAUGAUCUGGAGAAUCUCAGCUUUCAUUUUAAAAGUUCCUGGCCAUUAUGGGUGCAGGGAGAGCCAUAAAAGCACAUUGCUAAGCAAAAGACAUUGUCGAGGAAGGGGCCUCUCAUUGAAGCAGCUAUUAACCACUUGCUACAGCUCCCUUUAUUUGCCUUCCUGGAAAUAAAAAUGAAUUAUCCCUCUCCUUCCACUUUUCAUAAACAAACAACAGCUUCUAGGAAUAUUUGGGUGGAGUCCUUAGAUUCAUAUAAUUGUAGAGUUGGAAGGAAGCCCACGGGUCAUCUAGUCUGACCCCCUGCAAUGCAGAAAUCUUAGCUAAAGCAUCCAUGACAGAUGGACACCCAAUCCCUGCUUAAAAACCUCCAAGAAAGGAGGAGGUCCACAACCUCCAAGGGAAACCAUUCCAAUAUUGAACGGCUCUUACUGUCAGAAAGCUGUUCCUGAUGUUUAGUUGGAAUCUUCUUUCUUGUAUCUUGAAGCCAUUGGUUCAAGUCCUACCCUCCAGAUCAGGAGAAAACAAGCUCACUCUAUCCUCCACAUGACAACGUAUGCCAGAGGGAGAGGCCAAGUGGUCAGAGACCAUUUUGACCAGAGAAGUGGUAGAGCAGCAAAAGGGCUAGGAACAUAGGAAGCUGACUUAUUAGUUCAUCUAACUCCUUAGGGUUUCUUUCGGCCCUUUCUGGAAAUGCUGGGGGCUGAAUCAGCAACAGGCAUGCCAAUCAGAUGCUCAACCACUGAGCUACAAACCCUUCCCCAAGUGUUCCCUUUCUCUUCCUUCUUUUCUGAUCCCCCUUCCCCUUCCAAAGGUACUUUCCCAUGGAGAACACAGCCACAAAGCAUGUGCUGCACAUGUCAGCCUGGAUAGCUCAGUUGGUUAGAGGGUGGUGGUGAUAAUGCCAAGGCUGCAGGUUUGAUCCCUGUAUGGGACAGCUGCAUAUUCCUGCAUUGCAGGGGGUUGGACUACAUGAUCCUCAGAGUCCCUUCCCACUCUGUAUUUGCAAGUGACGUGUCAUUAGGGCCUUAUUUUUGGCCCAAAGCAAAUGUUUGGCUAAAGCUGGAAUGCAUCACUUUAGCGAACAGGUGCUUCUGCUGGAUUUUACAGGGAGCGUUUCAUGCAUCAUGCUGACAAAAUUAAUGCUAAUAAUGGAGUCUCAAACUCGCAUAAGAUAAAUUUAGCUAUGAUAGAAAAAUGGAAACCCCAUAUUCAGAGGCAGUAUACUGGGUGCUGGAGCAGGCCACAAAGAAAGUUGUUGUUUUAUGCUCUGCUUUUAGGGUUCCUUGAUGGAUCAUCUAAUAUAACAUGGCUCUUAUUAUGUCCUUAUUGAAACGCUGUGAAGAUGUAAAUUUUAGUCAGGAUUUGUUCAUCAUUAGUAGCUUAAUCUGUGAGAAACAAAGCAGAAAAGAAUAUAGUAUCAGCUUCCCACUCGUGUUAAGCCAUCAGUGCAAGACCAAUGAAACUCAGUCAAGAACUGAAAAUCAAUACAAGCAUAUUACCAACUUACCGGCUGAAAGGGAAUAGAUUUUCUCAGGUAAAAGCUGCACACAGUUGGUAAGAUCAGACAGUGUCUGGCCUUAAAGAGCAAUAAUGCUCCUUACAGCCUUUCCAGGUGAUUCAUGCUCUACUGAUGGACAAUCUUGCUGCCCGCCCAAGUCGCAUUUAGCAGGAGCACCAUCACAGGAAUGUCAGAGAACAGAGCAGGGAGGAAUUAAAGUACCAAGGAAGGAGAGGGAAUGCAUUGCUUCCCCUCUGUAUGCAUCUUAGAUCCAUAUGGUUUCAUACUGAUGCAGAUAUAUACUUUAGAAUCAUGGAACUAUAGAGUUGGAAUGUACCCUCAAGGGCCAUCUAGUCCAACCCCCUGCAAUGCAGGAAUUUUUUGCUCAAUGUGGGGCUCGAACCCACAACCCUGAAAUUAAGGAGUCCCAUGCUCUACCAACUGAACUGUCUCAGCAGAACCUCCAGAGAUCCCCGUUAUGCUUGUGCAAAGAGGUAGAGGAAGAAGGAGCUGUUUCAAUUUGGUUGUGUAUUAGCAUCACCUCCAGUCCCACCUGCACAUGGACACAACGCUCCAUCAGCUCAAAAGGUUCAUGUGCCAAUCAGCAAAAUUUCAAACAUUAACUUUUUUUGAAAGGCUUUGCAGUGACCAUGUAUUAUAAUAUAUGCCAGGCUGCCAGGAGGGAAUUUGACCACAUACAUUUGUUCCUCCUUUUAAAAAGUACUCGCAGCAAUUUGAUACACAAACAACAACAACAACUGUACUAUUGUACAAUACUGUACUAUUUCAGUAUUCAGUAUAUUUAAGAACCUUGCUGCAGGUCUUGGCCCUCUAUCCAAGCCUGCUCCUAAAAAAACUUCAACAAGUGAAAAAUGCAGAUGCACACUUUACAGCAGGAACUUGCAGCGCAAGAAUGUCCUUAUACGAAUCUUUAGUGCUGCUGCUUUUUAGAACACUGUGUACCAUUCUGAUCAACCCAUCUCAAAAAGGAUAUCAUAGAAAAAUGCAAGCAAAGGAUCAAAGGUGUGGCGCAGCUCCCCUACAAGGAAAGGCAUUCGGUUUUUAGUCAGUUUUGGGGAGGGGGGAGACAGGGAAAGAUAGAAGUUGUAUGCAAGCUGUCUUUCAAGAAAGCAUCUCUUUCUUUACUGAUCUUAUCACUGAGGAAGCCCAGGGCUCUCCAGAGCAUGCUAAACAGUUGCCCUUAUUCUCCAGGUAAAUGCAAAUAAGCUAUUGUGUGCCAAUGCUACAAUGUUAAUAACAUUCAGAUAACCAAUAUAUCUGGACCAGUUGUAAACCAAUGACACAGGAAGAAGGCAGGUUGCAUAUCCAUAUCCCAUUACCAAAUCCCCUAAGCUACCUAGGCUGGGCUUAUGUUAGAAGCAAUGCCAUCUAUUGCAGAAGCUUCUUGACUUUCCAAAAGUAUUACAGGCACAAAGAGAGGCAGCUCCUAACCUAACACUAAAUAUCAGUCUCUUAUCAAAUUGAAGCUCCUGCCAUUCAAGAUCCUAGGAAAGGCUGUGGCAGAAAAACGAAAGGCUUUAUCCUGGCAGUAAUAUGCUGAAGCCCAGGGGUGGGGAACAUUUCUCUCGCAGAUGAUAUUUAGGGGGGUAGGCACACCCUAGCUGUGGGCAGGGCAAGUGAAAGCUGUGGGAGUGGUUCGAUCUAGCAGUGGGUGGUGCUAGAACCCAACAUGGGCAUUAUUCUUUUUCUCUGUCUCUUCCUGCUGCCUGCCAUUCAUCUCUUCCUGACAUUUUCUUAAUUCCUUCUCCCCUUCCAUGCAAUUUGCAUGAAAUUAGUAUUUUGCACUCAGACUUGCCCAACCUAGCUGUAACCAAUCUAUGCACUUUUUAAAAGGGGUUUGGCUUAGGAGAAUUCAGGUCGUGUGGCUCAAGGGAAAAAAAUUCAGGCCACCUUAAUGGGAGUGUUUGGCACCCUCAGUCCUGGGCUAGCUAUGGCCAGGCUGUCCAGAAGAGGCUUCAGUUGGUUCACUAGCCCUAGUUGGUGGUAAGGUAAAAGGUAAAGGGUAAAGAACCCCUGGAUAACCAAGACUUAACCAAGUCUUGUCAAGGGCGACGAUAGGGUUGCAGUGCUCAUCUCGCUUUGAGGCCGAGGAAGCUGGCGUUUGUCCACAGACAGCUUUCUGGGCCAUGUGGCCAGAAUGACUAAACAGCUUCUGAUGCAACAGAACACCAUGAUGGAAACCAGAGCAGAUGGAAACGCCGUGAGCCACCAAAGAUUGGGCUGGAUCUAAUAACAACCCCAGACUAUGAACAUGGACUUGCAGGGGGAGGACAUGCCCAUCCAAUGCAAGCCACACAUCAUUUUCCUGGCAUACCUAGACCAUCUACCAGCAGACUCUCCUUCUCAUUAGAAUGGACCUCCAGUAGUCAAUUAUCUAUAGUAAAUUUACUAAUUUAGCACUGCUGAUGUUUUGCCUGAAUUCUGUAAAAAUGCAGUAAAAAGGAGAAAAGGAGACUCCAACACUCUAGAGGACCUCACACAAAUGUUUCAUGAAGAUGCUAAACAGCAUGGGGGAUGAGAUAGAGCCUUGAGGCUCACCAUAGCAUGGGCAGGACAAUAAUAGUCCCCCAGCACCACCUUGUGGAAACAGCCACCUACAUAGGCAUGGAACCACCACUGAAGCACAGUGCCCCCAAUUUGACCACACAUUUUAUCAAGAAUGAGUAUCAAGGUUGAUUGCUUCGGAAACUGCUGAGAGGACCAGGAGAAUGAUCACGGUUGGGCUCCCCUCUCCUUCUCUCAAUGCUGGUCAUCAUCUGCACAAUCAAAGUUGUUUCAAGACCCAGAAUCUGGGCUGGAAACCAGAUUGAAAUGAAUCCACAUAACUAGUGUCAUCAGAUAGCAUCUGGAGUUCUGCAGCAGCCACUCAUUUAAGCAUCUUGCCUGUGCAUCUUUAAAACAAGCGUUUCCACACAGAGCAGAAAGUCCCCCCUCCCCUUCAGAAUGAACACCAGCAAUCCUAGGGACUUCUAAUUCAAGUUUAACAUUUAAAAUAACUGCAUCCUACAUAACACAACUAAGGUAGCUCUUUGGAUCAGAGCCAUCUAGUCGGUUCAGCAUUCUUUCCACUCUGCUUGAUGAAGUGUUCUGUAAAAGUUGCACACGCAGCCUAAGGAGCUCCAGCUUUUCCUUACUUUGGGUCUCCUGUCCUUUAGGCACUAACAUCUUUCAUACUGAGAGCCUUCAAAGGAGUCUUUGCCAUCCUUAGAAUUCUUUUCAGCUGAAGAAGCCUAAGUAAUUUGGAUUCUCGAGGUGCUGCUCACAAAGCCUUAAAAGGUGAAAUCUUAGCCUUGCAAUACCUGCCAGAAAAGGACUACAUCAAAUAAACAAAAAACAACAAGGAAAGCCUCCAGCUUUCAGGGAAGGCUUUAAGGCUUUAAGUCCCCAAGCGUUUCACCAUAAUAUAUCCUUGUUUCUGUCAUCUCCCACAAUAAAGGACAAAGUUAAGAAUAAUGCUAUCAUCAAUAUUACCUCAAGAACAAAACCUAAAUGUCUUUUUAGUAUCAUCUACCCUAUUAAAACACAAAAAGGUGGAAUUGUAAUGGAGAGGGGAAGCAUUUGUUUCUGAAUAUAUAGUAACUGAAAAUCUGUAAUUUUUUAGACCCCUUAAAAAGUGUUUUUCCUAUAUUGCAACGAAGUAGUACCCCAUUUUUCAAUAGCAGAGCUGUGCUUUAUAUGUACAGUGGUACCUCUGGUUGUGAAUGGGAUCCGUUCUGGAGGCCUGUUCGCAACAUGAAAAGAGCGCAACCUGCAGUGGUGUGUCUGCGCACGCGCGGGUUGCGAUUCAUGCUUCUGUGCAUGUGUGUGAUGUCAUUUUGUGCUUCUGCGCAUGUGCGAGCGGCGAAACAUGGAAGUAACCCUUUCCAGUAUUUCUGGGUCACCGCUGGACGUAACGUGAAAGAAUGUAACAUGAAACGGACAUAACAUGAGGCAUGACUGUAGUAGGUCCCAGGUUCAGAUCUCUUAACAUUUCUUGUUAAAACAAAGAAUCAUUAAGAGGUGACAAGAAGGACACUAAACCUUUAAAGUGCAAUCAAUGCACAUUUCCCCCCUCAAAGAAUUCUGGGCACUGUAGCUUACCCCUCACAGAGUUACAAUUCCCAGCAACCCUUAACACACUACGCUGGACAAAACUCUUUGAGGGUGGAAAUGUGUUUUGAAUGUGCUCAGUGGCAGCUAUGUGGUCUGUGGGACCCUGUGCACAGCCAUUUGGAGGGGGGCUCUAUUCGUUCACCUACCAUAUUUGCUCUGUAUGCUAUUUGCUCUGUAAACAUGGCUAUGUCAAAAUUAGUGGGGUAUGAGGAGAUUAUAAUAACUUAUCUGCCCUUGCAUUCCUCAAACAGCCUGGGAACAAACAAUCCCAGCUGUGGGCAUGGCAGGAAGAAGAGGUGAUGGUAAUAAUUAUGCCUCUGAAUUGAUCCCCCAUGUCAAAAACAAACAAACAAACAAACAAACAAACAAACAAACAAAACCUUGAGGAAAAAUAAGAAAAACCCUGAUAAUCAUCAAUGUUAUGCACCUGCACUUCCGCACCUGCAAACGACUUGGAAACAAUUGGAAUGGCAAUCAUAAUGAAGAUGCCAUUGCACUGGGCUCCCCACCUUCAAAAAUAAAAUCCAACAACUUGGGAACAAUCAGGAAAAAGAAGAUGAUGAAGGUGAAAAUGCUUUUACACCAGGCUCCUCCCCAAGAGCUUUGUAACAAUCUCUGUGUUAUGGCAUGCAGCUGAAACAGGAAAGAGCUGUGUUAUCUUCCCCACAACUUCAUAUUCCAUUGAGGCUCCUCUCAAGUAGCUGCCUGCUCUCUGUGCUGGCAGGCAGUAAAACAAACACAGCAGCAGCAGAGGAAGAGGAAGAUUCCCACGUUUCUUCCUAUACUCCCCAACACCAUUUUCACAUGACUGGCAGACAGCAAAAUGAGAAACAGGUAAUUCGCAUGCUUUCCCCGUCCCAUCCCAACACACACAAUAACAACAGCAGCAGCAGCAACAACAACAACUACCUGCCUGCCUACUGCUCCAUGUGGCUGACAGGCAGCAAAACGAAACAACUAGAGCAGCAAAUGGGUGGAUUCUUUGGGGCAGCAGGCCUUUUCUGAGUUGGCUCCCCACUUGUGGAAUUGUCCCCCUAGGGAAGCUCACCUGGUGCCUUUCUUACAUAUCUUUAGGCACCGGGCAAAAACCUUCUCUUCACAGGCCUUUGGCUGCUUAAACAAUUUAAGGCCUUUUAAACUGUGGGGGGUUAUCGUUUAUGUUUGUUAUAAGGUAUGUAUUUUGUUGGCUGAAGGGCAGUAUAGAAAUGCAAUAAAUAACAAUAAUAAUGUUAACAAUGAAUACUAAUAACAUGGGGGGACACCUUAGCUGCAGGGGACCCUCAUUAUGCACUUCCUGUACACACCCAUAAAUCCACUACUGAAUAUACUUUAAAGUUAUGAUGUGUAUGCAGCCUUUCUCUGCCUGAAACCCUUGAGAGAUGCUGUCAGUUAAGAGCAGACCAGGGAUGGGGAAUCUUUUUGAGCCUCAGGGCUGCUUUCCCUUCUGAGCAACCUUCCACAGGCCCCAUGCAAAGUGGUGGGUGUGGCCAAGGGAAAAGUAGGCGGAGAAAAUAAUGCACAUUUUAUAUUUAUACAUUAGGCUUGUUUCUACACACAGGGACACUCUAGGACGGUGUUUCCCAACCUUGAUGCUCCAGCUGUUUUUGAACUACAACUCCCAUAAUCCCUAGCUAGCAGGACCAGUGGUCAGGGAUGAUGGGAAGUGUAGUCCAAAAACAGCUGGAGUCUCAAGGUUGGGAAACACUGCUCUAGGAAAGCAUUACUGGUUAUCUAGGACACAUUCCAGCCAGGCAAAAACACUCAAGGAGGGCCAAUAGAGUGUGUCCUUGAGAGAGAUGGUAUGGCCUGGGAAGAGUCCUGAGAUCCUGCUAGAGAAGGUGGGGAGGCUGCAUUCAGCUCCCAGGCCUGAGGCUGAACUCACUUUCGAUCCCUUAUUUGCAUAUGUGGACCUGAACUAUCUACAGUAUCCCCCUGCUGGCCCAGGGUGAGAACUUCAGUACACAACACCCACCCCUUAAGUAGACAACAUGGGGUUAGAUGGAGAAACAGUCUGACCUGCCAAAUGGGCCUCUAAUCUAAUUUAGGCAAUUGAGUAUGAUAAAUGAAAGGGGAAAUAAAGUAAUAAAUUGGAAGGAAGAGAAGACCAAAAACAAUCAGGCGUGGGCUGGCUGAAAUAAAUGACUCCACAGUUGCUUUCAGAAAAAGGAAGGGGAUCAAUUGAACAAAUAUUAGAAGGUAGAAGAAUAAAUACCAAGAGAAAAAACAUGAUGAUGCAAAACUGAAAGCACACUUUGACAAAGAACCAAGAACCAGAAGAAUACAAAGGGCAAGGAGGAAAAUGCAGGCAAGCCAAGAGGAGAGUUGGAGGCAGGAUCUAAGCUUUGGUCGGUAUUGGCAGGUCUCCAGGGUCUCAGGCAGAGGCCCUUCCUCAAACGGAAUAGAUUUUCAAGAGCACUUUGUGAUAUGGCACAGCAAAAACAAGGCACCAACAACAGCAGGAGGGAGGGACAGCACUGCAGCUCACACAGGAAAUGAACAUAAACCACCAACCAAUGCCAGACAUCUGAAGGAAUGUGAGGUGCAGGGACAGCAUUGGGUCAUGGUCUGCAGGCAUGGUGUCUUAGUCCAUGCCCUCUCUUUUGAAAGGGGAAGAACCACUUGAGUUUGGCCAUCUUACAUACAGGCCUGCUUGAGAAAUUGCUGUGAUGCAUGUUAGGACCUAUCCAGAUUUCUGCUUGCCCCACUGCUUGCUCCUGGAAAAACCCUGAAUCAAAGCAAACAUCAGUUGGGUUUUCUCCAGAUUGACGUUUGCUCUGAUUUAGUGCUAAAGAGAGGGUUUUCCGGGAGAAAGCAGUAAGGCAAAGGCAAAAUCACUGAGCCCCCUGCCUAGAAAGCAAGGGACAAGUGGGAAACCACUCAGACUUGUGGUGGUGGAGACUUUAAUUUAGGUUGUGGGUGUGGAAUCUGGUGUCUUCUAGAUCAUGUUGGACUUCUGCUACCGUCAGCCUCCCCACCAGCAUGGUCAAUGUUCAGGGAUUACAGAACAUCUGGAGGGCUACAAGUUAUCCAUCUCUUCUUUAGGCAGACCAAUCAAACACCCACCUCACCACAACAUUCUCCUUGGCUCUUGCUACUGGGCAGCAAGGAAGUGGGGAGGUGCAUAUUGGGGUUCGCUGAAACCCCAAUCUCAUUGGACACCUCCCCCUGCUGCCUAGCUGAUUGGCCCUCAGAAUAGCCAAGGAGAAUCCUUCUCAACCUUUCCCAGUGUAGUAGCCAGGUUUGAGCCCCCUGUCACUGCCGCCGCCGCCGCUUAUGUUUCUAAGGCACAAAGUGGGUACAUACAUAGGCGGAGCAGUUAUAGUAGAAAUGUAUCUAGUGGCCCUGCCUCUGAAUAUAUCCAUCCUUUGUGAAAGUAUCUGUCUUGCAUGGCCUGAUGUUCCAUAUAAGGUGAGAAGUAAGAACCCAGGAAAGUGACUGGCUCUGCCUGGUGGUCAGUGGCGGAGCUUCAUGCUCUGGCACCGAGGGCGGAGAGCAGGCGGGGAGGUGGCUGGUGCAUGUCCCGGGGGCGUGGCACGUCGCAUGCAGGGGCGCGGCGCACGUCCUGGGGGUGUGGCGUGCAUCCUGGGGGCGUGAUGCGCCGCCUGCGUCCAGCGCUGGGGAGGCAGCUGUAAUGGCACCCCACUGGGAUCGUGGUGCCGGGGGCGGUGUGCUCCCCCUGCCCUCCUCUUCCUCUGCCAGUGCUGGUGGUACCAUGUGCUGUAUAAGGAAAAUAUCAAAAUACAGGAGAGAGAUUGGUGGUGUUUGUUACAAGAUGUUUGGUAUAAAAAGGCCCCAGAAACAGUGCUUGGGGGGGGGUCUCAGUUCUUUAGGGAGUGAUCCCCCUGAGUCUAUUCGCUGUACAGCUGAAAUAAAGAAUCUUGGACUCUCUCCUCCUGUCUCUUGAGUCUGAUUGGUUGGACCCAGGAAGAGCAGGGGUUCUCCUGCUAAACCAGCACAAAUCAGCUGGACAGAGGGGAGGUGAUCUGGGGGUCACAGGCUGCGCAUAUGUGCUUUCAAGCCCAACCUAUCCAUGAGGCAAGGUUAGGUGACUUCACAAAGGCAGCAGACCCCCAAUGUAGAUCUUUAUUCCAUCCUUGUUGCUGAUAUAGAUCUUCACAUACCCCUUCUUCUCUGGCGGGGAAGGGGGUGCGUCAUUUUGUGGUUCACCUCAGGUGCCAACAUGUCUUGGGUUAGCCCUGUGUGCUCUAAAGUACUUUCAGGGACUGCCAGCUUUCUAUAUAAUCCUGGGGAAGGGUACCCCUCUCUCAUGCAUUGGGUUUUUCAUCCCCCACUAAAAAAGUCAGCGUUUGAGAGCAAUGCCCAUGCCAUGAAAUCCCAAUUCCUCUUCAAAAGAAUUUAAAAGUGAUUAGAGAGAGGGAAACCAUUUGCCAAGAUGUCUACUUCAGCAGAACUAAAAGCUAGCAGGCAAUAAUGGUUGUUUGUCAUUGUUUGAUUUGCUUAAUGAAUGAGCAUUUGUUUUAGCUCUGAAAAGAGGGGAAAGGCUUAUUUAGGCAUAUUAACUUCAGGAAGAAAUUGUCACUGCUGCUGAGAUCCUAACCACAUGCAGGGAGUAGAUGUGCAAUAAUUAAUACUGGAAUGCUCUGCAAAUCACCUUCCAGAUUCUGCCGAACUCUCCUGCUGGGUCAAAUGCUGUGAAGCCCACAGAGGUGAAAUUGCACCAUGGUUUACUGCUGCCACUCUUCCAGCUGUGCCACCUCCAGUAUACCACAGGGGGGGUUUAAAGGAACGAAUCAGGAAAACAAAUCCCUCUUUUUCUUUCAGUGGGAUUUGCAUGCUGACAUUUCUUCAGGAUUUCUGAAAAGCUCACCCACACGAGGGGCUGUGCUUUACAUCUCACGGUGUGCAGAGGGAACACAGAAAGUGGGCAGGAGGGUGUAAAAAGAUGUUUGUUUCCACACACCCCCAAGCCCAGCCUAGUUACCAAAGAGUACAUCUGUUGCGUUGCUCUGGUCUCCCUUAUAUAGCAAGAGUUGUUAUUUCUGAAAUCUUCUGUAAUUCUAGUCAAAUAGCUAGGGCGUGUGAUUGUACUGGUUUAUUGGCCAGGACUGUGCUUAUGCUGUGAUGUAGAGGGAGCAUGGAAAAACGAUUGUGAUAUUAGGAUGUGGAAUUCAGCUUCCUGUGAAUUUCAACUUGCUUUCUUUUUCUUUCUUUCUUUUUUUUUUUUUAAGGUGAAGAUACCUUUAUUUAAUUCUUUGUACCUGUAAAGUCACUUUUGUACAGAUUUUAUUUUUUCAACAACAAUUGCAGAAAACAUAAAUAGUAAACCUUUUGAACGUUUCCUAAAAUUAAGUUGCAAAAGUUCUCUGGAAGACAUUCGUUGAAGGCCAUCUUAGUAAGACUUGUUGUGUUUUGCUUUGUGUCUGUGUGUGGUUUUCUUCAAUACAAUCAGUAGAUAGAUCGCCUCAGCACAAAGGAAAAAAAACAAGGUGUUUUUUUUGGUAAUUCAUAAUAAAAAGGAAGUUUAGAGACAUCGUGGUGGCAGAUAAGUGCUUAGAAACAUCUAGCCCAUGCUUGUUGAAUAAGGUCAAUAAUUGGAGGUAGAAUACUGAUACCAGGCAGGUGCCUUCCCUGUGUUCUUUGUUUUAUCCUUUUUGUAAACCGCUUUGUGUUUUUUUCCUGCAUUCAAGUGGUAUAUAAAUUUUUAUUAACUAAUAAAUAAAUAGGUUUCAACAUCCUGCAGAACUCAUUUUUACUCCCCUUGUUUGGCCGAUUCACAGCAAUGCAGAACUAUGCAAAGGAAUGUAAAAUGUCUACUUUGCAUGAAUGAUAGAAUUGCACAAUUUAACUCUCCUUGGUGCAGCUUUUGAGUUUCAAAGCUGUACUUCUGGGCAUGUUGCAGAAUUCCCAGUCACAUAUCAUCCAUCAAAAUGCCUGGGUGAAUAUGGAACAUCUUUUCUUGUCUCUUGUCUCUAAAAGAUAGUAUAUGGUAAUUUACUAUCUCUGGAGCAGGAAUUCCCAUGAUGGGGUACACCACGGUCAAAAAGACCCCAAACCCUUCCAGCCCCAGAAGGCAGGGGUCCCCAGAACAGAAGAGUCUUCCUGAGAAUUGUUAGGUUUUCGUUUAAAAACAGCAGCAGCAGCAGCAGCAGCAGCAAUGGGGUUACUGAGUUCACUCUCCUCAUGCAACAGUACUAUAGCCAGAAAGGAGUUGCUUGGCUGUAUGUGACAUUUAGUUAAACUUUCUGAUCACUCUUAAGAUGGAAAACCCCACCAAUGUUCCCAGAAAAAUUCCAGAACUAUAAAUCACUCCCUUAUAUAGGCAGCACACUUUAACACAAUUAAAUCUUGCAGUAUAUUUCUUGACUUUAACCCAGUAAGCCUGCCAGAGAACAAUACUGGCACUCCUUGCUCCUAUGCCAAGGUCAUUGAUCUUUGAGAUGAGUGGAAUGAGCAGACACAAGUCAUACUUCUAAUCAUAUGGAGGCACUGGAAAGAGAAAAUAGCCAGGUACCUGCCCAAGCCAGCAAAAUGGGAAGUGAGGAAGCCAGCAGGUUCAGACCUGCCUUGCAGCACAUGGUAUUAUUGAUUUGGGACCAAGGAGCAUAGUCCCCAUACUAGGCUACUCCAGCCAAUAGACUUCCAUUACCUUAAGACUAUGGCACAAUAGAGAAUGGACACUUAACACCUUGAAACAUGAUCAUCACUAUUUCCAAGGUGGAGAUCGCAGGCCAGGUGCUAUCAGAUUACACACAUCGGCUAUAUAGAGCCCCUAGCUGUAUUUGCUUGGUCAGUCAGAAUAAACCAAGUGUAUGGUGUUUAUGUGGGGGAGCAGGAUUGCAAUAGCAAACUCCAACCCAAACUAUGCACAUUCAGUUGGUUGCAUGAAUAGUACAUAGAUAUGUGUGUCGACUCCGUAAACAUGACCAGGGACCUGGCAGAGCCCCAUUGUGCAGAUCAAUCUAUCCCUCUAAGUUUGUACUUGUGUAAGGUCUGCUCAUGUCAUGUGUGGCCAACUAAACAAGGAGAAGUGAGAGGUGGAAUCUGCCACCACAAACCUGCUUCCACCCCCUACACACAUUCAUUGUUCCCCAAGUACAGGGCUUCUGCGAACACUUCUAGUUGGCUUGCCAGCUCUUGAGAUUUAAUUUCUAGUGUUCUUCUUAGGGUGUUUGGAAAAAUGGGCCUCAGAGUGAGAAGCUAGAACCAAGGAGAUGGGUUCUUUCUUUUCUGCUUUCCUUUAGUGUUCUUGAUAUUUUCUACAUUUCACCAUGUCUUUCAGGCUCCAUCCCUCAGACAGGCUCUUCUAACUGGCCAGCUAUGUUACCCGCUGCUUCCACUAAGCACCCCAGGACUCUGUCAAAUCUCACUGCCAGACUCCAUCACUGAUCUGCCAGGAUGGAAACAUGUCUUGUUGGCUAUGUCCACGCAGCAGGGUCUGAGUUUUGGGAGACCUGGAAUACUUAGGGUGGCUAAAGGGUGAUGAGAAGUUAGAAAUUUUAUUCUAGAUUAAUUAACAGGAUGCCUUUGUUAUGUGUUACCUUCUGAACUGGGCUGCCACUGACAUUUUUCUUCCAUCGUUCUGCAUUGGAAAGAGGCACACAUUCAGCACAACCCUUGCAGAUUCCCAUUUUUAGCAGGUUUGCCAGCUUUUUCCUCAAAGCAACCUGUUUCCAUCCCCUCAGGCUGAGCCUGCAGGGGGAGAUAAAGAAAUCCUUCCUUGACUUGUAAACAGGGGAGACUUUAUAUAUGGAUAAAGCCAUUACUCCCUUCCUUAGCGGUUGCUAAUUUUAGGACAGUGCCAUGCAAAGUCAUUAUAGGUUAGUUGUAUGCUAAUUUUCUCUCUCUUCCUUAUCUCUUUCAGUGUUCUGAGAUCUUAGGGGUUUAUCCAGCAGGGAUGAUCUGUUUUUAUGGUCAGGCAUACCAAAACCUGUAAGAGUGCCAGGAAAUCCUAAUGCUUCUGCCUGCCUCCCCAGGGAUAAGCUUGCCCUGAGGAUUAAUUCCCCUGCCUGGAGUUUCAAGAUUAAGAAUCUGUGUUAUUCUAAUUCACAUCCUCAGCAACUUUGCCAAGAAAUGAUGACUUCUGCCCUGCACAAGAGCAAGAAUUCAGACCUCCUGAACCAUAGAUUCCCAGAAGGCAGCAGUAAAUCAGAAAUUCUGCCUUCCUCGAAGCCUAACAUAAUGGCUUUCUGCUAGCUAUCUUGGCUCACGGUUAUUAUUUGUAAAGCUUAACAUGGGAGGCUAGUGCACAUGGUGAGUUAUUACAGAAUGGCUGCUGGUGGGUGUAGCUGAACAAGACCUUUUAACACUUUCCAUGAACAAGGAAACCAUUUCCAGAAGUCCCUUGGAACCUGAUCUUUGACAGUGAAAGUCUCUGACCUCCUGUUUCCCAUAUCAUUGGAAUAAAUUGCACGAGCAGGAUCUAUUAAAGUCCAAAAUGACACAUUGCAUGUAGUUUUGAGAUUCCAUUAAAUGCGGGUGCGCACACCUCCUGGGGAAAACUUAGCAGCCACAACAGGCUUUGGAUUUAGCAGAGGACUGGUGGGUGGGACUGCAUUAUCAUUUCUUUGCAAGCAAGUUGAUUUUUUCCCUGAGGACCGUAUUUUUUUCUCUUGCAGGUAGGGAAGCAGGGGUGGGAGACAUCAGAUCUGAAAUUUCAAUAAUGGCCAGUCUGAAGGUUAGGGCUGGCUUUAAGGAGAGAGCAUGUGCUCUCAGCCUCCAGGAAACCCGCCCUGCCAUGGCAAACUGGAGAUUCAGGCCUUAACAGGGGGGAGGGGGGGCUUCCAACUCUGCAGUCCUAUGAGUCUAUGAUUCUCUUAGCACAGCUAUGAACAUGGUCCAGGAGAGUAAAGUGGGUGCUGGAAUAGGUGACAGUGUUAUCUGAGUGUGUGCAGAGGGCAGCUCAGCGAAAGACGAGCAUAUUGGGGGCUACACUCUUACUUGAGUCACCCGACUUGCAUGGGAGCACAGCCCCAAAAGACGUGCAUCCCGAUUUUCCUCUGUGGCAUGUUGGAGGGUAUGUCAUUUGCAUCAUCAAACAUCAUCAAACACAAGAGUGCUGCUGGUUUUGGUCCAAGGCCCCUCAGGUCCAGCAUUCUAUUCUUACACAUGGGAAGCCCAGAAAUACGAAACAAGAGCACUCUUCCCAGGUGUGAUUCCCACCAGCUGAUAUUCAGAGGCACAAAACUGCCACCCCACAGAGCCAGAGGCUCCUCAUGAAGUGGUGCCUAGUACAGUCUGAGGACACUUCCAGAUCCUGUGAGGCCAGCGUGCAUGGAGUCUUCUGGCUUUGCAAGAACAUUUUUACCUUCAACGAACUGUAGCAUUAUACAUCAUAAAAGCAAUCAAUUGCAUGUUCUCUUUCAGAAUGUUAAUAUUCUUUGGCUGCUUCUGCGAGCAAAGCAAAAGGCUUCAACUUCCCAUACAGUAAACCUGAUAAUACACAAUGUUAAUUUCUAUAAUAAUAAUAAUUGUAAUUGCAAUUGUAAAGCAACAGCAACUUUAAUGUCACUAUGGCUGCAAUAUACACCCCCAUUAUUUGGAAAUAAGCCCCAGCGAACUCAAUGGGAUUUGCUUCUGAUGUACAGGACUGCACUCUAUAUAAAUAUUUGCUUCAAAUAUGUUACUUUUCCGGAAUUCUAAGAUAGUAUUUGCAAAAAUAGAAUUGGCAUAUGAUAAUAUAUUUUUUAAAAGGGCUUCGGGUUCAUAUGUUUCAUUAGUUGCCACUGGAAAAAGUGUCCAAAUGUCAUACUAUUAAUUACCAAUUUGUAGUUUAAUAUAGUCUGUUCCAAUGUAUCAGGCUGCAGCUCUUACUUUCUUGUAGGAAAUGCCAUUUAAAAAGGAUGACCUUUCUGUUUGAGGAUAGGUCCAGAAAUAAGAAACAAGAGGAUAUUCAAAGAUGCUCUGGAGGGUUAAUUUAAUUUUAGGAAAUUGACUAAGAAAUAUUAUUUUUAUAGGGUACAACAAUAGUACUACUUUAACUACUAUUAAUAAAUAUAAAACAUACACAUAACAAUUGAAUUAUUAGUCUCCUUAGCAUUAUAUACAAUGCAUCCAAAAAUAUACAAAACCUGUACAGCAUAUCAAUAUUAUCAAACAGUGAGACAGAUGCAGAAGAUUCAUUGAAUCAUAGAAUCAUAGAAUCAUAGAGUUGGAAGAGACCACAAGGGCCAUCGAGUCCAACCCCCUGCCCAGCAGGAAACACCAUCAGAGCACUCCUGACAUAUGGUUGUCAAGCCUCUGCAGUCACACAAUUUCCGCAGUCACACAAUCAAUCAAUCAAUCAUAAAACAAAAAACAAGCAACAAUCACAAAAAUUAAAAAGCCAUAAAAACGCGAAAAAUAGCAAAAACAAAAGCACCAAAAAUCACCUCAGAACACUGCAAUCAGAAAUGGAAGGCUUUAAUUAUGAUGGGGUGGAUUCAGAUGAGUGGUGCAAGGGCAGAAGAGGGAGGAAAAAAGGCUUAAUUACAUUCGGGGGGGACCCAAAUGAACAGUGCAAGGUAGAAGCGGGAAGAGUAAAGGCUUAAUUACUAUGCAAGGGACUGAAAUUUGCUACGCAACAGUAAAAACAGAAGCUCAUGGACCCCAUUUGGGUUCCGGGGCAAAGUUUGAAAACAUAGAAUCAUAGAGUUGGAAGAGACCACAAGGGCCAUCGAGUCCAACCCCCUGCCAAGCAGGAAACACCGUCAGAGCACUCCUGACAUAUGGUUGUCAAGCCUCUGCUUAAAGACCUCCAAAGAAGGAGACUCCACCACACUCCUUGGCAGCAAAUUCCACUGUCGAACAGCUCUUACUGUCAGGAAGUUCUUCCUAAUGUUUAGGUGGAAUCUUCUUUCUUGUAGUUUGGAUCCAUUGCUCCAUGUCCGCUUCUCCGUGUCAUUGAGUUCAAUGAGACUUACUCCCAUGUAAGCAGGUAGAGCAUUGCAGCCUGAAUAGGCUUUGUUAAAUUUAAAAAGCUAUUCCCUUUAAAACAAAGGGAUAUAUUUUGGUUAUAUUUCUUGGCAUUUUCUUCAUAGGAGAAUCAUCACAUAGAAGCAAUAAAUUUAAUGAACAAAGCAAACAGUAGUUUGAAAAAUAAAUGUUUUCAAAAAAAUUUAGUUUAAAUUUAUCUCCACUCUUUUAAAAACAAAAUAAAAAAAAUUCCUUCCAGUAGCACCUUAGAGACCAACUACCGUUAGUUUGUUAUUGGUAUGAGCUUUCGUGUGCAGGCACACUUCUUCAGAUAUCUCGUGCAUGCACAUGAAAGCUCAUACCAAUAACAAACUUAGUUGGUCUCUAAGGUGCUACUGGAAGGAAUUUUUUUAUUUUGUUUCGACUACGGCAGACCUACCUGUAACUAUGCACUUUUUAAAGUAAUCUUUUUAUUAAGCUUUUAUUUAUAUCAACACAACUUACAUAGCCUUAAACCCACCCACCCCCCACAAAAAAGGAAACUUAUGUUGAGGGUGGAGAGACAGGGUGUGGGUCAGCACUUCUUCCCAAGUUUUUUUAAUUUAUGGGAGUGUCAUAAUCAAAAUAACUUGGCAUUCACCUAGGCAUAGAAAUCAGCAUAUGCUUGUCAUAGAGAUAGCUAAGCAGCACCUGAUUUCACUAAUGUCAAGUGAUGAUAGGUCUUCUGUCCCUUUGCCGAUGGCUAGACUGAAUUUACAGCAUUGUAAAACAAUAUUUUGGGCAAUCAACAGGGUGUGACUAAUCCAUUUCCCCCAGGGGAGGAUAAGAUUCCAUACAGAUGGGAAGCAUUAUCCAUACUAUUUUGUCUGCAAGUUUUAGGUAUGUCUCCGGAAACAAGCUGAUACAGACAAUAAAUUCUGUCCAGCACUGACACACAACACAAGAGUACAACAUAGUUGGCAUGUCCAAAUGCAGUGAUAAGCCAAGAACCUUACAGUGCACGGGCCAUGUGCUUGGUUUGCUUCGAUUUUGGACCUCCCCUAGUGCAAGGAAGUAAACAAACUAGCUUAGUGCUACUUUUGACCCCAGGAUCAUGAGUUGGCUUGGGCAGCAUUGGUCAACAAAGUAGAUCCUCUACUAUGGAGGACUUUUUGGAAGCACUGACAGCAAAAGGACUACAUUUAGAACCAGUUUAUGUUUCAAUUGCAGGAGGUGUCACUAGGAAGUGUCAAGAGGUCCAUAUGAUUCUCAAAAGUAACAAAAGGGGGCAAAAACUACCGUACUUGCUUGUGUAUUCAUUGCUCAAACAUAGGGAUUUGAUUAACUGUCCAUGUGUUUCACAAAAACAUGUAUACAACAAUGUUGAGUUUAUUUUUAUUUUCUUACAUUUAUAUCCACCUUUUCCCCUUACCUCAUGGAACCCAAGGUUCCCAAAAUGUCACCCACCCAGGCAUUGAUCAGACCCAAAUCUGGUUAGUUUCAGCAACCUGGUGGCUUCAUAUGCCCUUUGACUUUAUGCCAAAUUAUUUCAUUUUUAAAAUAUGCAUACAGGUUAAAGUUGUGUUAAUGGUGUGGGAUAUUCUAUGUCUCUCGGGUAGGGGUAGAGAUGGUAGAAAGUUAGCAAAAUUAUAAAUAAGUUUGAAACUAAGGGUUGUCCACCCUGUCAAUGGAGAAAGGUGUUCUCGUAUUGCCCAGGCUGGUGUUUCAUAUGAGAAUGCUGGCUGAGGAUGUAGUCUGGAGACAAGAGAACCUUGGAUAGCAAGAAAUUUGGGAAAUUAAAGCCUCCUUCUUCGACAGGAAAUUGGAAUCAAUGUAACAAAUAUAUGGGAUGUUGUGUGCUCCAUCUAAAGGCAAUAAAAAGCUUAUUGACACGUGCAAAAUAGGAAUAUUUGCAAUCAAUACAUAAAUUAAGUGUGGCAUCACAUUCAUUUUGAUUAUUUAAAUUUUAUUCUAGAUGCUAUUGGAUAAUGUAACCCACUGAUCCAAGUCAAGUUUAUAGCACAAUAUGAUUCUUGUUGUCUUUGACCAUGGAGGCUAUAUUACAUGCUAUUUUGAUUCCUGGGUUUGUUAGCCCCUGGGGAUCUGAUACUGGAGCACCAAAACUAUGGGGGAAAUUUCCUGUGCCUUGGGGCAUCUCAGAAGCCAUAGGAAGCAUUGGAUCUCCCUCCCUGAGGGCAGAAAGGGGAUUCUGACUUUGGGAGAGGGAGAUCCAGGAUAACCCACUUCCUGCUGCAUCUGCAACUUUUGCUCUACCAACACCAAAACUCUGUUGUCAGUAGGACUGCAAGGGGGCCAUGCAGAGAAUUUACUGAGAUUGUGUCAGAUGCAGGCCAGUGAAAACGUUUGGAUCUGAAGGAUCCAGUGCCUUCCCAUUCCUCUCACACACUCCUAAACCAGUGAGAAAACGAAUUCCAAUCCUGGAACUGGCAUUGUUUAUUUCCCAUUUAGCAGCAGCUAAAUCCUUUAAGAAAAUAAAAACUCAGAAAAGGUCAGAGGGGAACUAGAGUGCUGAUUGGCUCUUGUGUCUGCCUUGAGGGCAAGAAACCCAGCAGGGUGUUGGAUGAGGCGAUCAGCCACUUUAAGUUUUUGCCGCUUAAAGACAUUCGUUCCCAUUUGGAUCAAUCUGUGGUCUAUGCCCAAUAGAUGGCAAAUUUGUGAAUCAAAUCACAUGAAGCUGGUAAAGUUUCAAGGUCAUCGAGAAAUAACAAAUCUGGGUGAUUCAGUAGAAAGUUUUAAAAUAGAAAUGCCUUCCCCUUUUAAUAUAUGCCUUUCAUUCUUAAAAGAUAUUGAUUCCACUGCCUCAAAAGUAAAAUCCAUAGGCUUGUAGAUGAAAAUGCUUCACUGGCCAGGUGCUUGUCCUAAGGUAGGAACAUGACUUUUAUAUUCUCCUAUUUGUAUAUUAAGUUUUCUUGCUAUCCCAUCCAAGUCCUGUUUAAAGAAGGGAGUGCAGCUAAAGAUGCCCAUUGACAGACAGCACCAGGACAGAGGACUAAGCAAGCAUGUGAUCACCUGGUCAGGCUUCCCCACUAGGGUGUGAUGUAUGGUAUUUCUAUUUAAAUUAUCAUCAUUGUUUUCAAAUUUGUAACUACAGUAUGCCUAAAAUUUAGCACAUUCAAUGUUAAGUAAACCUGCACCCUCUUCUUUCAUUUGUGUGUAUGUGAUACAUUUCCUCUGUUUUGGCAAGGUGUAAGAUGUUAGUUCAAUGAAAAAAAUAGGUAUAAAAGUAGAAUUCCCUGGAUGCCAAGAUCCAGAUUUGGGACAAGUACUCUUUAGUGAGAGAACCCCAGCAGAGAUUUUAAAUCACAAAAUAUGCAGCAAAGUAAAGCGAGGAAAUAUAGGCUGCUAGACCUUUGAAAUAUACUCUGCUAGUUCUUUCCAAAGUUUCCUACUUCACCUAGCAUAGUUUGGUAAGUUAAACUUUUACCUAUUCUCCAAAGCUCAUAUCCAUGUGCUUUUCCAUAUAAUAUUCAGAAAAAGUUAGACAGGCAGUAAAACUUGGCUUAGUUGCAAAGUGGUGAACGUUCCUAAAUUAUUGGUGAAGGAACUAAAAAAUGGCUCGUGAGAGUCAUGUGGUCUGAGCUUGGAGGAACCAGCUCAGGCCUUCUCACAUGUUGAGCUGUUCUGGCAGAAUGAAGAACAAAGGCUAGAUUACCUAGUCCCUCCCAACGUGAGUUAAACCUGUCAGGACAGCUUACUCUAUGGUCUUAACCCUUUCAUGUGUUAAUUAGACUUAAUCAUGUUGGUUAUGUGAGGCUGGUUUUCCCACGUAACUUUCCAUCCUAAAAGAUACACAGCAUUUCCAGGGGGAAAGACUUUUUGAAGUUCAGGAGAACUGAUCACAAAGUACCCAUUGCUCUUGAAAACAGAAUUUAGCAGGGCAGGCCUUAUGCUCUUAUGACAGAUACCACCUUUCUUCACUUAUACAUACCAUCUUUCUAAGGCUCAAGAUGGUUUACAUAAAAUAAUUAAAAUAGAACAAUAUCAAACUGUGUUUGAAAGUAUAAGCUACUGCAGCAAUAACAAUACAUGUAGCAUAUUCAGCAGAGAAAGCAUAGUCAUUCAAAGCAUUUACCUCCAUCCAUAAGUCAAACAAAAGAGUUAGUUUUUGUAGCCUAUUCAGAAUGAUGCAGAGUUUCUUGGAAAUUCUGAACUGGAAAAAUGUUCACUGCCCUAAAUCGAUGGGGAUCUAAUUUAGCAGACUUAAAGUUAUUAAAAGAUUUGUUGCAAAACUAUCUAAUUUCUUUUUGCAAUAGCCAAAAGUAGUUUAACUGAAAUAUUAGAUUGGGGGAGGGGGGAGGGAUUGAAUAAAAUGCAAUAGGGAAUUAUAUUCAUCAGAAUACUUUUAAAUAUUUUAAGACAUGACAGCUCAAUAACAUACACUUCCCUUACAUUAUUCAGAUUUUAAGGGAGGGAAAUGAAGGCUCUGUUAAUAUAUUAAUUUUAACAUGCCUCCAGAGCUAGGCACAUAACUAUAUGGUCUGUCAAAGUUAAUUAUCACUUCGAUUUUAGAUUUGACUAGCAUCCAUUCCAGCUGCCCAGUCUGACUUGUAUUGUGUCAAUUCCUUGUGAUGCUGAUUAAUUUUAUGAAACAAUGCAUUUCUGAAAGUGGAAACAUUUAAGGUUGGAAAAAUAUACCCACAACAAGGUUGCAUCGAAGACUCAUGCCAAUGACUGAAAAGGCCCCACUCCUGGGUUUCUGUAUCCUGCCCCGGUCCUUGGAGAAUUGAUCUAUAAAUUCUCUAAGCUACUCAAGGUCUAAGAAUUUCACAUCAAAUAUUAUGGAGUGCUGUAUGCAAGAGAGAAGGGCCCCCUGUUUCUGGGAAUAAGAUAUAAAUACUGUGCUAAUUCUGAAGACUUUAUUCUUGGAAGGAAUGUGAACAGCAUGACGGGACUCCUCAAAAAUAAGCAUAUUCUUGAAACACUGAAGAACAAUCUGUUGCCAGAAGCACCGUAUUAAAUAUCACUUUCUGAAAUGCAGAUUGCUAUCUGCGAAUAAAAAUGUCAUUGCCACCUGGGAUUAGUAUUCCAUUGUAGUCACAUGAGCCCAUGUGAAGCACAACCGUCAGGUAAUUCUCAUAUUAAGAGUCCUUUUAUUCUUCCUGUUCCACCUAAACUCUAGUUGUGAAGAUGCAUUUGGUUCCGCCUGCUAUAUAACCUUGGCUGGUGCAAUUAGUUGAUUCAGAUGAGGAAUAGUGUCCUGGAAAGGUAUGGUCUGGGGACACCUGAUGCAGCCACCUUGCUCAAGCUUAGCAGGUUUGGGACUGGUCAGUGCCUGGAUUAGGAGACCAGCUGAGGAUUCUAUGCACACUGCCUCGCCUUCCAUGUUAAAUAAAUAUUUGGGGGAAAGACAAAGGAGUAAAAUCGGUGGCAAGAUUUUGAAUUUGGAAAAUGAAAAGUGUUCGGUUAGUUUAGAAGCGUCCUCCACUUUGACCUGGGAGAGUGGGGAUCCCAACAAACAUUCAUAGUUUCACAAAAUUGUAGAAUUGGAAGGGACCACAAGGGUCAUUAAGUCCAACCUCCUGUAAUGCAGGAAUCUUUUGCCCAACAUGGGGCUCAAACCCAUGACUCUGAGAUUGAGUCUGAUGCUCCACUGACUGAGCUAGAGUUGGCUCAUGUUGGCAUCCAUCUGUCUCGAGAGACAAUGGAGUCUACCUCCAAGGGUGAAGUCAAACCGCUGGAGAAUCACAGCACCUGGUGUGGCUUCAAAGACUGGUAACUUGUAACUGCUGCCUACUGAAUUGUUUCUGCAGCAACAGCAAAGUGACCUCUCCAGGGCACAAGCCUGGGCAGUGUACAUGGAGGUCCUGGGUUGCCCAGGUGACAAGACCUCUCGGCCUUGCUGCUGUGCCCCAGAGAAAAGCAGAGCAACCAGCUUGGCUGCAGGUGUUGUUGGAAGGAGACUGUCCCCAGUGCUUUUCUUUUCUAAAAAAAAUGUUUAGGGGUGCUCUCAUUUUCCUACUCAUAUUGAAAUACUGCCCCUCAAUGAGGCCUAACUUAGAUUCACAAAAUAUUUAGGGGUAUGCGCACCCCUACGUCCCCCCAGAAAAAAGCACUGACUAUCCCAGAGCCUAGGACUUGCCGAUCAGAAGGUCAGUGGUUCGAAUCCCCGCAAUGGGGUGAGCUCCUGUUGCUCGGUCCCUGAUCCUGCCAACCUAGCAGUUUGAAAGCACGUCAAAGUGCAAGUAGAUAAAUAGGUACCACUCCGGCAGGAAGGUAAACAGUGUUUCUGUGCGCUGCUCUGGUUCGCCAGAAGCAGCUUAGUCAUGCUGGCCACAUGACCCAGAAGCUGUCUGCUGACAAACGCCGGCUCCCUCGGCCAGUAAAGCGAGAUGAGUGCCGCAACCCCAGAGUUGGCCACGACUGGACCUAAUGGUCAGGGGUCCCUUUACCUUUACCUAUCCCUACCCAUGGCCAAGGUAUUGGUGAGUUCCGACAGAAUGAGUGCAUUUUAUAUACAGUACAGCCAAUUUGCAAAAUACACAACACUGCUGCAUUCAGCCUUCGCUCAGGUGUUAUGUAAGUAAGACGGGUCAGAGUAAAAGAAGGCUAUUAUGGAGCUUUCGGGUACCUGAGAAGGGGCAGUAAUUUCCUCUAAUCAACUAAACUGGCAAGGUAUAGAGAAGUGUGAAGGAAUUCAAUAUUCUGGGAAAACCAGGUUACUCUUUCUGUAAUUCUUAAAAGUGAGCAUUGACCAGUUGCCUUGGCAACAAGAGCUAUGUGGAGCUGUAAUUUAGAACCGAGGCAGGGAGGUUUUUGUUUUUAAAUCUUCACAUUUAAAUAGGAAGAAAGGGAAAAGGCUACUAGGUGGGCAUGCCUAGAUGAUGGUGGUGGUGGUGGUUGUCGUGAGGUUGAUGCCUUCUGUGGAAAAAAAGGCCCAGGAUAAAGAAGAAAGCUUGAAUUCUUCAAAGAAACUGAUUGCAGUGUACAGUGGUACCUCGGGUUAAGAACUUAAUUCGUUCUGAAGGUCUGUUCUUAACCUGAAACUGUUCUUAACCUGAAGCACC